UUUUUUUUUUUUUUUGUGUUGUAGUAGCUAUAUUAGUAAACCUUUUUGCCACGAGCUAUAUAGUUGUAGCAAAUAAUCUUAUUGUUUUGCCGCGAAAAAUAAACUCUGUAGCAAUCUUUAUACUAUAGACACAAGUUGUUCUACAAUGGAAAAAGGUUUAAUUUCUUUGCCACGAAAAUUUAAUUUUUGUAGCUAUUUUUAUAGUUUAGUCUUGUGGCAAUAGUACUUAUAUUUAGCUGCGAGUAAAAUUUUUUUAUAGCUAUGAAUCUACUCUUUUGCCAUGAAAUACAUAAAUCUAUAGCUAAAAAAUUUCAUUUCCUAUAAAAAGUAAAAAUGUAUAGCCAUAUUAUUGUUACGUAGCAAUUAUAUAUAUGUUUAUUUAGCUACACAUUCAACAAUUCCAUUGCUAUAAAUUAAAAAAUUUGCCACAAAAAUUGUUAGCCACAAGAAAUUUUAAGCUAAAUAUCCAAAUCUUUCAGAUCCCAAAAUAGGUUCCAAGUUUUUACAUAAUUGUAUAUUCAAAAUUUCGAAACAUUUACAAUAUGUAAUCCUCUAGGAAUCUGAUCAUGUUAGCAAUAUUUUACCCGAGGCCGCACAGUCUUCUCCUUUUUCUCUUGCCACUACUCGAACUGCACCUUGAUUUGAUCAAUAUCGGUCUUAGCUUGUCAUUGCUACUCUCUUGAUUCCUCAAAUUUGCCUGCAAUUUUGAUAAAGCAAAUUAACACUAGAAAACAAAAAUAACUGAUCAUAUAUAAACUUUUUAAUAGGUCCAGAAUGGUCAAUUAUUUCUAGAGAAGUAUUAUAGAUUACCUUCUCACAAAAAGAAAAUCCAUAUGUCUCUCUAAUCACUUAAUUAUUACAAAUUCAAUAAUAUCUCCUUAACAUGCUUAUAUGACCAAUUUAUGAGAUAAUGAAACUCUCAGUAAUUUUAACAAGGAUAGUAAAACUCCAAAUAUUUUACAAUACAACUCAAUCUCUUGCCCUAGAUUUUUUUAUUUUUUUUUAACAAAGCCUUAAUCAAGGAACAAACAUGUAGUUCUACAUUAUCCUUUCAUGGAAAAAUUAUAGGAAAGAAACCUAUAGAUAUAUUAACAUAAACUACGACAUACCUAGGAAAUAGCAAGAGAGUUCAUUCGCACCAAUAAAAUGGGAAUAUCGGUAAAAAAAUCCAUAAUUGCCUGUGACUACACAAGAAAAGGAUCAAAAUUAAUUUCUUCAAAAAUUAUUAAUAAGCAUCCCCUUAAUCAUAUUUCAGAAGCUUCAACAGUAAACAGAUAAAUUAGUACUGAUAUACCAAUCUAAUAAUAAUGAACAUAAAGAUUAAAACUUUUCUCUUCCCAAUUUUUUCUUUUCCCAAUUAACUAAGAAGAAGAAUAAAUAUACUUUUAUCAAAUCCAGCAUAAGUUACAAAUGAAGUCUGACGUGCACAUUGAAAAUUGAAAAUAAUAAAGAGGAAGAAAUAAAGUAACCAAAGAAAUAUUGUCAUAUAUGUAGAUAUAUAUUAGUGAUAAAAAGUUGAGAUUCAAAGAAGAUAGAAACAUACUAGUGGUUGAAGAAGGUGUUGGGGAAGUGGGUGAGGGUGUGACGGCUGGAGAGGUUAAAAAAUAAUAAGGGGCUAGGUUUUGGGAUCUCAUUCUUGUUUUAUAACCAUAUUCUUUAAUUUUUUAAUUUUUUGUAACGAUUCGACCGGUCGUUUUGAGCUCUAGCGUGUCGUUCAGCAGUUUGAAGCCACGAGCAGUUUCACUUCAGGUAUUAUGACUUGUGCGCCCGGUCGGAAUUGAAUUUCGGGAAGUUCGGAGUUGAUUUGGAAAAAGAAUUCUCAUUUCGGAAGCUUUAAGUUGAAAGAAUUGACUAAGGUUGGAUUUUUAAGUAAACGACCUCGGAAUCGGGAUUCGAAGGUUCCAACAGGUUCGUAUGAUGAUUUCAAACUUGAGCAUAUGUCCGGACUGGGUUUUGGAAGAUUCGGGAACGUUUCGGCGCCUAUUGUGGAAGUUAGCAUUUUUGGAAGAAUCUCAUAAGUUUGGAUUGAAGUGCAUUUCAGGGUUAUCUAUGUCCGUAGAUUCCAAGUCUGGGAAUAGCUCUGUAUGGUGAUUCUGGUAUUGGGAGCGCGAUCGGAAGUGAAUUCGGAGGUCUGUAGGUCAUUUUGGAGUCAUUUGGCUAAAUAUAGAAAUUUGAUGGUUUUUGAGAAGUUUGACCGGAAGUGGACUUUUUGAUAUCGGGGUCGGAUUUCGAUUCUGGAAGUUGAAGUAGGUCCGUAAUGUCGGAUAUGGCUUGUGUGCAAAAUUUGAGGUCAAUCGGACGUGAUUUGCUAGGUUUAAAUAUCGAAAGUAGAAGUUUGAAGUUUUAAAGUUCAUAAAGCUUGGAUUGGAGGUCGAUUCGUGAUUUUAGCGUUGUUUGAUAUGAUUUGAGGCCUCGAGCAAGUCCGUAAUGUGUUUUGGGACUCGUUGGUAUGAUUGGUUGGGGUCCCGGGGGCCUCGGGUGGAUUCCGGUGGUUAAUGGAUCGAAAUUAGAAUUUUGGAGAAGGCUGAAGUUGCUCGUUGCUGGUGUAACCACACCUGCGAGGCUAGGGCCGCAGGAGGGGUCGUCGUGCCGCAGAAGCGGUUAGAAGUGAAGGGCUUAGAGGCCGCAGGUGCGAAGGAAAUCCCGCACCUGCGAGAUCGCAGAUGCAGCCGGUGAGGCGCAUAAGCGGGCUGGGGCAGUAGGAGGAGGACCACAGAAGCGGUAUUGUAACCGCAACUGCGGAACCGCAGAAGCAGUCAAGUGACCGUAGGUGUGGAAAGGACUGGAGGCAGUGAGUGUUUUAAAAAUCGGGAUUUGGCCAUUUUCUCUCAUAUUUUCUUGGCUUGGGGCGAUUCUUGGAGGGUUUCAAGAGGGAAUUUUCAUCAUCGACGACAAGGUAAGUUAACCCCACCUAUCUUGAGUUAAAUAUAUUGAUUGUGUAUGGAUUUGAGCAUGUAAAUUGGUAGAAAUUUGGAGGCUUGAAAAAACCUUGAAAAUUCGUGUUCUUGGGUUUUGACCACGAUUUUGGGAAUGAAAUUAAGAGAAAAUCAUAUAUUUGAGUUCAUGAGUUCAUGGGUAAACUUUAUCUUCGAAAAAUUUCGGAAUUCAGGCACGUGGGCCCGAGGGCAAUUUUGUCAACUUUUCGAUCAGGGUUAGGAAUUGUUAUAAAUUGGAUUGUCAUAAGUAAUUGAGCAUCUAUUAAUGGAUUUGCAUAAUUAUUGGCUGGUUUUGGAGCAUUUAGCAUCGAUUCAAGCUUUCGGAAGAGCGUAGAAUGUCGGUUAUGGAUCUUCAGAGCGAGGUGAGUCUCUUUUCUAACCUUGCAAGAGGGAAUUGUCCCCAUAGGUGAGUUAAUUGGUUAUGUGCUCCUAUUUGUGGGGGCUACAUACGCACGAGGUGACGAGGGUUCGUGCGCAGCUACUAUUAUGCUAUUGUCCGGGUAGUCUAGGACCCAAAAGCAUGUUGUACUUGGAAAUAUUUGUAAUCUUAUUGACGGUUUGAAUUGCUUAAAUUCUAUCGAAUUGGUAAAUGAUUUUCUAAAAGGAUUAAACUUCAUUUUUCUUAAAUCGUUAAAAAGGGAGAAUUUGGAUUUUCCUUGGAUAAUUGUUCCCUAAUGAAGUCCUGUUUAACUGUUUGAAUAUGUGAUUCUAUGUAUACUUGUGUCGCAUGUAUGAUUCGUGAGCAGGGUGUUUGUUUAUUUGAUGUUGACCGCGUCGCAUGGAUGCUUCGCGAGCAGGGUAAUAGAUGCAUCUAUGGUUCGCAUCGUUCGACCCUCGGCAGUGCACAUUUUACAUUUAUGUUGGAUCGGGUCGUACGACCUCGGCAUGAUAUGCGCAUGUUUGUAUUGUUGCUUGAGAUUUAUAAAUGUUGACAUUUGCCUUACCUAGCCGGAGAUAAAUUGAUAAAGAUAAUGAAAAGUAAAUCUUUGGAAAUCCAUUAUUAUUUGGGAAGUUAUUUACCUGCUAUCUGGCUUUAUGAAUUAUAAUUGUUGUUUUAAUAAAAGUCCCUGAUCUCCUCACAUUUUUACUAUAUUAUCAUUGGACCACUAGUAAGUGUCGAAGUCGACCUCUCGUCUCUACUUCUUCGAGAUUAGACGGGAUACUCAUUGGGUACACGUUGUUUUCGUACUCAUACUACACUUGCUGUGCAUUUUUAUUGCACAGGUUCAUAUGUAGCUAGUGGCUUAGUGGCAUAGCGACAUGGUUGAUUCAGAGACUUAGGUGAGUUGCAUUUAUCGAGACGUCCGUAGCCAGCAAAAUCUCCUUCAGAGUAUUGUACGGUAUCCUCAUUUCUGCCCACUUAUAUUCCGGACAGUUACUGUAUUUUAUUUCUUUCCCUAGUAAUUGCCCAUGUACUUGUGACACCGGGUUCUGGGAUGACCACGGAAUUUUUCAGUAGUUAAAUUUUGUAAAGACAUCCUCAUUUAUCGAGCAGAGUUUAUUAUUUAUUAUUUAUUAUUUAUUUGCUUAAAGAAAAUAAUUUCAAAAUAAUUAAGAAUGAGAAAUUGCUAGUAAAUGGUAGUUGGCUUGUCUGAUAGGGGUGUCUGGCUCCAUCACGACCCUUAGUGGAUUUUGGGUCGUGACAACAUGGUAUCAGAGCACUAAGUUCCCUUAGGAUUCACGAGUCAUGAGCGAGUCUAGUAGAGUCUUGCGGAUCGGUACGGAGAUGUCUGUACUUAUCUUCGAGAGGCUACAAGGCUGUUAGAAUCACUUCCCUUCUUGAUUCCUCAUCGUACGAUUUGAUUCCUUGAGGCUUUUGCCCUUGUUUCCUUCCUACUCAACCUUACGCGAUGCGAAUCGCUUGUUAUAAAUCGGGAAUUGAAGAAUUGUAAUGUUACUACAGAUGUGGUGCGGGAUGUUUCUCCCGGUAUAGUUGGUUGGGCUAUUGUCGUCGCCUUGCAAAAGGAUUUUUCUAUCGUUUCAGCUCGGUAGUUGUACUUCUAAGAGCUUGGAGGCUAUGCACAGGUUGCUAUGGUGCUCACGAGUGGUUGUCACACAAUAUUGACUUGAUGGUAGGAUACUUGCCUAUGUGUUGGGGCGGUGAAUGAUUUGAAAGGAAGUCUACUCAGUGCACGAUUUAGAGGUCUGAUAUUUCAUUUCCGGCGGAGGAAAAACGAUUGGCCUAUGGAUGUCCAGAUUUGGGGUGAUGGAGUAACGAGACUUGGUAUUUUCGAGCGUGGUGAAAUUUUCAUCUGCGACGUAGUAUCGUCGUCCUCGAUGGUAUGUGUUUGUCACACCCUUUUUUUUUACAAACUUCACUAAACCCUCUCAAAAAUAUAAAAAGAUUUGUAAAGCUCAAAAAAGGUUUUCAAUCAGAAAGUGACAAAGAUGGUGUUCAAAAGGAUUAACUCAGAGUCGCCACCUGACAUUGGUUUCGGUGUGCCAGGUCACCGUUUUAUAAAAAUAAUUUUUCCUUUUUAAACACUUUGGACUCCAAAACUAAGUUUGCGCCAGAGAUUCAGGUAAGAGGGUUCAUUUGACUCGGGGAGAAGGUGUUAGGCACUCCCCAAGUCCCGUAACUAGUAUGGUUGCAUACUUGAUCUAGUUGGCUUUUAAAAUAUUUAAAUUGAGGUAAAAAAAAACAAACAAUAGGAAAAUAAAUAUCAAAAGAGGUUCGAGGUCGUCCCCACCUAAUAAAAGAAAAUAAAAUAAAAAGUGAAAUCCUAUGCUAGCCUAUACUAUUCCACGGUACUCGUCGAGGCCUCCAAAAUAUUUACAAAGUUCUUCGGGGCAUUCCCAGGAAUGAAAUAUCUACAAAUCCUUCGGGGCAUUCCCUGGAUAAAUUUAACUAAAGGAGACGACCUCUCACCUCAAAAGAAACUAAAGCACGAACGUCCUAAAGGCUUGCCUAUCCAAGUGUGGUCGGCCUAGGUAUGCUCCUAGCGGACAAUGUAAUAGAAGCAAAUUAAAUAAAACUAAAGAAAUAAAAACUAAUUUCAUGCUCAUUCCCUUUUUAACUUUUCAUUUUUAUUAGACUAAGCCCGAUACCUAAAAUAUGGAGACAAAUCCUUAAAUCAAUUCAAUGCAACUAAAUGAAACCAAUCACUGAAAGUACUAGACCAAAUGACUAUAUUGAUGAUAGCACAUAAGAGAUGAAAAAUUACCAUCUGAACACUUAGCAUCAACAGAAACAAGACCUAAAAAAUCAGAAACUAAACUUGAACCUAUAAACUUUAAUGGGAUCUAAGAAAAAUGAAAAUAAAUUAUCCAAAAUAUUUUAAUAAGUGAUAGUUCUAAACGAGGAAAAUAACAUGUCCAAUGAACACUUUAUGAUGAAACAUAAUUUGAAAACUGACAAACCAAGCCUAACAUGCAUUAUCUAAGAUAUUUUAAAAUGAUCCUUUAGAUAAAAAAAUAUGUGUUGUUAACUACUUGAUUAUGACUUCUAGAAAAUCACUACAACUUACUAAAAGUUGAUACAGUAAAACAUUUAAGACUUGAAGACGAGUGACUAUGCGACUUUAAACCAGGCAACGAGAUUUAGAGGAGAAAACCGGAAUCCACAACUUAAUAGAAUCUAAAGGAAUCUACAUAGUUUUCUCAUGGCAAUUCCAGCAAUUUUAAACAAAGAUGUUUUAAGAAAAGCAGUAUGAUAAACCAAGAAAUUUCGAGAAAAAGCAAUAGGCCUAUAUCACAAUAUUCAUCACAACGUAUUGCAGAAAAUCACAAGUAAUAGAGAAAUAUAGAAGAAGUGAACCUGAAAUUAGAAAAAUCAGCAACUACGCAGAGUUUGACUCCAAAAUUCAAGUGAGGAAACAAUGACAAGAGCCCGAACGAAAACCGCGAACAACGACUCCAAAAAUUCGAACACCCACUCGGCUCUUUUCCGUCCGAUUUUUUUCCAUAUGUUUUGUUUGUAUUAAGAAAAGGAUGCUUAGUUGCGUACAUGAAUGAGGAUAUUUUGGAGCAUGGGCAGUUUGUUCACGCCUCUAUUUCUUCAUUUAUGUCAGUCGAACCAAGUAGGAGUAUUAAUUACUGCUGGAUUAGAUCUAUAUGUAAUGGUGCAUUGUCAACUUAGGGAGAUUUUCUUUUCAUAUGAAAAAUUAGAACCUCCAAACUCAUACAAAGAUAAAUAUUGCCAAGAAAAUAGCAACGAUCAGAGUUGGAUAGAGCGUGGCUGAUUUCCUAGUUGAAAACAGUGAUGGUACGCAUCUGAAGAACCAGAAAUGAGGGGGUACGGCCGAUUUGCUUCUCCUCUUGUCCAAGUGAAAGAGAUCAAUUAAAUGGGAGGAUAUGUUAGGUCUUAGGGUUAGGCUAGUGGGUCAAUUGGGCCAAGAAGAUUGGGUUUGGUGAAUUGGGUUAUAAAUUUGGCUUUUAAUUCUAUAAUUCUUGCAAUUUGGCUAAAAAUAUUAAUUUUUUUUCUAAAAUAAUACCAUAAAAAUGUAAAAUUAAUCCUAAUUAACUAAAAUAACUAUAUUAUGACAUGAAACUAUUUUUGAUAUUUUCAAAGAUUUUAUUAAAAUAAAAUAAAAAUAGGUUCAAAGUAAUAUAUCCUUCUAAAAAUAUCUAAUACGUGAAUUAAAUAGAGAAAUAUGAAACUAUUUUUUGUAUUUUUAAAUUUUGUGAUAAAAAUAAUGUAAAAGAGUCAAAAUUAGUUGAAAUAACUAUAUUAGACCUAAACUAAGUAUUUAAAUGAUAAAAUAUGUAAAAUCUUGGGGAGGGUCAAAAAUUACAUGUCUACAGCUGCCCCUCUUUGACUAGAAAUACAAAGUAUUUUUAGACAAAGAACAACUAGACAGGUUUUUUGACCCGACCCUUAUUUAGAAAGACCAAAAACAAAGAAAAAAGAGGAGAAUGUGACCGAGCCCUGGUAUUUGAGCUGCCUACAUAUCCUUGGCUAUAAAGGAAUCAGGCCACGUGUAGUUCAGAAGUAGGAACAGUGAUGGAGUUUACCGAGUGGAGAGCCGAUUGAGGUGCCGUCGAGGUUCCGGUCCGCGGUUCAUGUUAUUACAUCAAAAUUAAAAAAUGAAAAGACUAACUAAGCAUGUCAGCUAUGAGUUACAAAAUUCCUAUCUUUAAGUCUUCUGAAACUUGAUCUUUAGUCUUGAAUGGUUCUUCAUACAAACUUUAGAUUUGAACCUUGACGCUCGCUAAUUGCAGGUGUUAGUUCAUUCUUUUUCAGCUUUUGGAUCACAACGGGACAUGCAAUGCUCGUAACUUCAUCCACGUAUUGAGCAGUUCACAACUUUCAUCUGUUUCUGCAUUUGGAUUUACUUCUUCUUCUUCUUUUUUCUUUUUUUUUUCAUUCUGGUUUGGGACUUCUUCUUUUGGUUUUCUUAGACUAUUGACUUGCAUUCUUGUCGUGAGCUUCUGCUACUUCUAACUUGAAUUGGAUUCUGAAAUGACUUCCCUUGUUCUCCAAGUGGGCGCCUGAUUACCAAAAUUUUAACUGUAUUCUCUUGUUCCACGGGUGGGCGCCUGAUUGCCAAAAACUUGAAAUAAUUCCAAAAACGAAUUCCCUCGUCCUCCAGGUGGGUGCCUACAAUCAAAACAACAAGACAAACAAAAUUUUCUGCCCCAGUUUGCACUAGGAAGAUUUGUGAGUUAUUAGCAAAACUAUAAAUCACCUAUGUUAUUGAUGCAAUGAUGAGAGUAAAACUAAAAACUCGACUUGGAUGUGCGUCUCCUGUAAAUCAAACCAAGAAUAUUUGACUAGCAAGUGCGUCUGUUAAGAAUAGAACCUCAAUGACCUAGACUAGGAAGUGCGUCUCGUAGAUUUAAGAUUGAUCUUGAGAAGAACUAUAAACUAAGCUUGACUAAAGUAAAAACUGACCAUAUUCUCCAGGCGGGACCCCUGAUUUCAAGAAAACUAAAGAUUAAUAACUUAAGAAAACUAAAGAUUGAUCCUAAAAGAAAGCUCAUCAGACUAGGUCCCUUUUAUUAUCUUAGGAGAAAGAUUCAUCCGACUAAGAUUUCUAUCCUAGGAGAAAAUUCAUCAGACUAGGUCUUCUAUCUUAGGAGAAAAAUUCAUCAGAAUAAGAUUUGAUCCUAGGAGAAAGUUCAUCAGACUAGGUCUUCUAUCUUAGGAGAAAGAUUCAUCAGACUAAGAUUUUGAUCCUAGGAGAAAGUUCAUCAGACUAGGUCCCUUUUUGUUGUCUUAAGAGAAAGAUUAAUCAGACUAAGAUUUUGAUAUCUUAGGAUAAAGAUUCAUCAGACUAAGAUUUUGAUCCUAGGAAAAAGUUCAUCAGACUAGGUCUUCUAUCUUAGGAGAAAGAUUCAUCAGACUAAAAUUUGAUCCUAGGAGAAAGUUCAUCAGACUAGGUCCCUUUUGUAUCUUAGGAGAAAGAUUCAUCAGACUAAGAUUUUGAAGAAAAAUCCAUCAGACUAGGACUUUUAUCCUAGGAGGAAAAAUAUGAAGAGCAGUGGCAAUAUUUUAUGCAUACUAGCAAGACAGAUAAAGACAAAGAUUUGAGAAACUUCCCUUUGUCGGCUCUUCUCUUCCUUUUUUCUUUUUCUUUCUUUUCUUUUCUCUUUUUCUUGUUUUUGAACCAUUUGCUUGCACUGCUUUGUUCCUGUUCAAAUAAAGAAAACUUGCGAGUUUAAAAUGUGGUGGUUAGUUUGUGGCCUUGACCUUGAAGGCGGCUGCUUCUGCACUUGCCAAGAUAACUUUGAUUUCAACUUAGAAGACCUUACCUGUUAUUAACUAACCAUUUUCUUUCAAACCCUAUCACAGAAAACACCUCCGCUCCAUCCAAUCCCAAUAUCCUCUAUCUGUUGCAUUUUACUCAUGAAUUGAAUUACCGAACCUUUGCAUUUCACAUGAAUCCUAAAGCAUGUUGAUUGUUACCAACUCAAUGCGCAUACCGCUUUUCCCUGACUUAUGCCACUUUGAUGUGCUAGCCAAAUUCAUUUUGUGCAAUUGAAAAGUUGGUAGCAAAUCUUAAAGUCAUUUCUCACUUGUUCUGACCUAAAGACUCAAGAGGGACUCAAACAAAAUAAGAGGAACAAAAUAAUGGACAAGGGAAAGAGAUGAUACCUAACAAGAAAAUUACAAAGUAGAAACUUAUCAGAUAUGGAUACCAACUCUAAUGACCAUGACAUGCACCUUUGGAUUAAGUAGCCUAGUCUCUCAAGCAAGUCUAAUAUUCAACUCUUGUUGUACCUCUUCGCUGUGAAACUGGGCUUCAGCUCUUCAAUUGUCCUAUUUGAUCCACAAUCCUCAGUCGACUUGUAGUGCCCUGAAGGGUUUUCACCAUCAAGCCCCUCUCAUUUUGAUUUUUUUUCUCAACUCACUGUCGCCUUACGGUGCCCAUGAGGGUUUUCACCUACAAGACUCUCUCAUUUAUCAUUUUUCUCUCUUUCCGAUAAGAAAAAAGUAUUACCCAUGAUGUAGGAAGAUCAUACUUUUGCCACACACUUGAUUCGACAUCCUCAAAGAUUGGUUGGAAGGUCUUUAUUUGGACCGUAAUGUAGGCUUUUGGACAGGGUUAUCAUAAAGGCUCAAAAUAACUAAGAUUAAAGGGUUCAAAAUUACAACUUUUGGAAUAAGAUCUUUUGGCAAAACUAAAACUUCUACCCCAGUUUCUUGGAGUUUGGGGAAUUUUUUUGGAUUUUUGCUUUGAUGGGAUUUCUAAGAAAACUGCCCCACUCUUGACUUCGGGGAUCAUGAAAUAUUUUAUUUGGUGUGACCGAACCGUAAGGCUGCCUACGUAUCUUGUGGUGACAAGAAUCAGGUCAAACGUAGUUCAAACACAAAGUUGGUUUUAUUUCUUUUCCUUUUCUUUCUUUUUUUUUUGCUCUUUUUUUCUUCUUCUUUUUCUCUUUUCUUUUUUCUUUUCUAGUUCCCAACUCUACUUCUGAUUCCAAAAGAGGUGUAUGGAACAAAGCAAAUUAAGGCUCAAAAGAGGUGUAGCAAAAGAUAAAAGUGUUUGGAUAACAGAAUAAAAUGUCUUUGUUAUACCAAACUUUAAAAAUGCCAAGUACAAACAUGCAAUUGAAGAUAAACAAAGAAAUCAUACACAAUAUCUAUUGACGACAUCAACAUAAACAAAAAGUGCCAAUGGGCAAUACCUUUGUCUCAAUGAAUGACUCUUGCCAGUUCGGAGCAAACUUGAUUCAACCUUAUCUUGAUAUGGAAGAAUGCAUUUCAACACUGACUGAUUUACCUCAAACUGCUUGAGAGGCAUUUCCUUGUUGUAUGCUCUUAUCAACCUCUUGAUUUCCCAGACUAAUUGCCUCAGUUUCACUCAAUUCAAUCUUCAGGUUAUCUCAGGAUGCAUGAAUCUUUACUUGUUUCCUCAAAUGCCUCAUUUUAUCAUAUUCAAAACUGUGUCAUUGCUUCAUGAUUAGACUAACUUUCAAGACCAGGCUGAGAUUAUGUGUGCAUGUUAUGUCACUAGAGUCAGCAUGAAAAGAACUAUAAGAGGAAAAAUCACCUAAACAAAACUGACUAGAACUAACAGAAAACAUGAGAUUGCAUUAGACAGAUGGUGAAAAGGGUUUGAACAAAACAAGCAAAAUAGACAUGGGUUACAACCCUGGAACAAUCCUAAAUAACACUUAACGAGUUAGUACAACUAAACGAACUAGACAAAAUGAGAAGAAGAAGAGUUUGAGCCACAAGACAAUAUCCGAAUUACAACCUUGAAAUAACCCGGACAAACAUAAAUGACAAUAAAAUAAACCACCAAAACUCCUCCUUGGCUAGCCAAGAAAGGAGUGUCUUUUUAAUCACCAAGCUCGACAUCUUAGCCACUAGAUUGCACAUCAAAAUUGUUGGGACCUUCACCAAUUUCAAUAUCGUUAACUUCAGUGAGCAUGUCACCAAAGUGUGCAUCAUCAUGUGUAGGUAAAGGAUUCUGUGUGAUAUUCUGGGUGUCAUUAUCCUGGACCACAAUUAUCCCUUCUUGAAUCAUUCUUUCUAUCUCUCUUUUCAAAUCCCGACAACUUUCGACAUUGUGCCCCUGAGCAUUGGAAUGAUAUUCACACCUUUUAGAAUAGUCAAAGAUUCUUGCACACGGGUCCACAUGAUUCGGAGGAAUAGGUGCAAUCAGGUCAUAAUAUUUUAAUUUUGCAAACAAGCUUGCAUAGGACUCUCCUAUCGGUGUAAAAUUAUCCUUCAACCUUUGUUUACCUCUAUACCCCUGGCUUGGAUGUGGGUUGUUGGGUGCCCGAAAAAGUUGUGAAGGCGAAGGAGUAUUAUGCGGUGCUGGUGCUCGCCAUAAGGAGUGACCCGGUGGUUAGACAGAUGACCGGGCAUUGUUAGGAGGAUAGUACUGAGGUGGAUUAUGUGGAACUCGGGGGUAGGUUUGGGGUUGGGGUCAAGGUUGAGUAUAUUGGUAAGGCGGACCCGUUGGGACAUGUCGCGAUCCUGAUACAACCAUGGUAACAUCAUCACGUUUCUUCUGACCCGACAAGCUUCCUGUAUCGUUUUGAAUUGCUUGUGUUGUGGCUUUUAAGGUAGAAUAGCUCACGAUUUUGCUUGACCUCAGUCCUUCUUCCACCAUUUCUCCCAUCUUUACCACAUCAUUGAAAGGCUUACCAAUGGCUGAGAUCAAAUGGCCGAAGUAUGUAGGCUCCAGGGCUUGAAGAAAGUACUCGACUAUUUCAUCUUCUACCAUCAGAGGAUUGACCCGUGCAGCUUGCUUUCUCCAUCGGAAACCAUAUUCUCUAAAGCUUUCACUGGGCUUCUUUUCUACCUUGGUCAGGGACAGGCGAUCCGAGGCAAUGUCUAUGUUGUACUGAAAAUGCCAAGCAAAGGCCUGAGCCAAAUCGUCCCAUGUGUACCACCUGCUGGCGUCCUGGAGAGUGUGCCAUUCUAACGCUGCCCAACUCAGACUUUGGCUGAAGUAUGCCAUCAAUAAUUCGUCUUUUCCCCUGGCGCCUCUCAUUUUACUGCAGUAACCUCUCAGAUGAGCUACAGGAUCCCUAUGUGCAUCAUACAAGUCAAACAUGGGCAUCUUGAACCCCGCAGGCAGUUGAACAUUAGGGAACACACACAAAUCCUUAUAAGCCACACUCAAAUGGCUUCCCAACCCUUGCAUAUUUCUCAAUAAUUGCUCCAGACUUUUUACCUUCCUAAAUAUCUCCUCUUGCUCCACGUUCUUGGGUGGUUUCUCAUUUUCAACAUGAGGCUCAAAGUGGGGAGUGUAUAAGUAAGGAUCUGGGACUUUGAAGGUGGGUUCCGGGGCAUAGUAUUGGGUAUCUGGAGAUGGGAAUGCUGUUGUUUUGGCUGGUGGAGCAUGGAAAGUUUGGGAGGAAGUGCCAGGGUAAUUGUGGUAAGGGGUAAAGCCCGGUGCAUGUUGAGGAGAAAGGUCAACGGUAAUGGGAACCUGGGCUUGUGACAGUGGUGAGAUAGUUGUAAGGUUUUCAGUGUAGUUAGUGGGGAAUGAAGGUGGAGGAUGCCCCCUGAUCCAAGACUGAUACAUUUUUACCAUAUGUUGUUUCAAUCUUUGGACCUCCUCUUUCAAUUCAUACUCCGACUCCACAAACUCCCUCGAGGGGUCAACAACUCCUGUGUUCAAGUCUUUGCUAUCCAUGUCUACCUUGUUCUUUGACCUUGUGUUGUACAGAUGACUCGCCAAAGUGCCACAAACUAACCCCCCUCUGUUAUGAUCACAAUGAAAGUAACAAAAAGGAGUAAAACAAAACCAACAUGUUAGCGUUAGGACAUUUAUCAGAUAGAAAUAUCACAUUGCAUGUAAUGCCCCUAGCAAAAAUUAAUGGUUCUAGAAUGACUUCGAGGGUCACAAGAUCAUUUGAUAUCAUCCCAAUUUUUUUCAUUUCAACCUUCUUCUUUUUUUCCUUUUCUAGCACUUCUUGGCUUGCUCAUUUUCCUUCCUCUCUUUUUCUUUUUAAUUGUCACCCUUUUCUUUCCUCUCAUUUCUCACAUCCACAAUUUCAUCUCUUUUUUUUUCUUUUUUUUUCUUUUUUUUGUUUUUUUAAAGAUACUUCGAUCGAACCCUAUGUAGGUUGCCUACGUAUCAUGUCCCUCAUGAAUCAGAUCAAGCGUAGUUCUGGAAAAGUGAUGGAUAAAAUAAACUAAAAUAAAUCUUUUUGAAUUUUCCAUUUAUAACUUUUUUUUUGCUUUUCAAAUACAAAACAGGAAGUACUAUAACAAAAGACUCGAAAAUCUUAACUAGACCGACAGACUAGAUACUACUAUACAAGACAACAUAAAAUAGACUAAAAAUAAAAAGUUUCCUCAAGUAGCUCGUGCAUGCAAUGGUCUUGACUAGAAUGGUCCUGAAGUAUUUGUCAUGCUCAAACUCUAGCAAAUUGAUCCGUACUUGAAUGGAAAAAAUAAGAUCAAAUGGAGUUAGUGACUCAAGACACAUGUGAUGCUACGUUACCUUCUAUUGGACACAUGUAAGGUAUGAUUAAGGCUAUUUAUGCAAAAUGACCUAUGUGGCCUAGAUGACUAGAAAUGUAAACUCAACAAAGGUGACCUCAAAGACAUAGAAAUACCUCACUAAGGCAUAUAUGUAUUCAACUCCCAAUAAUCAUGGCCCAAAAUUAAUUUGCAAAAAUGACCCAUUUUGCAAAAACGACCGAUAUGGCCAGAAGUGGCCAAAGAUGCAAACUCAAAAAGGACGGACCUUAAAGUAAUAUGACACCUAGUUGUGGACUCAAGAUCCUAAGACAUGGGUUAUUGAACCACUUUUGCGAAAAUGACCCCAUUUUGCAAGAAUGACCGAUGUGGCCAAAAAUGGCUAAACAUGCAAGAUAUGGCUAAGACUCCGCAAAGCCAAGAACCUAAGACUUACUAGGAAGACCGGACCCUAUGUGGGUUGCCUACGUAUCAUGUCCCGAAAGACGAGAAUCAGGUAUGCGUAGUUCGGGAAGAUUGGAUAUGGGAGAAAGCUUUAAAAAUGACACUAAUUUGAAAAAAAAAAUUUGUCUUUUUUAAAAAUGAUGGAAAAUGUAAAAUCUAUUUGGAUUUUCUUUUUCUCUUUUUUUGAUUUUUUAAAAAAUGAUGGGAAAGUGUAAAAUCUUUUUGGAUUUUUCAUUUUCAAUUUUUUUGGUCCUUUUUUUUUUGAAAAGGUUAUGAAAGAAAAAUACAACUAGGCCCUACUUGAUUCAUUUUUUACCCUACUUUCCCAAACAUCGGUCCGCCAAAUGACCUUUUUACCCUCAAAGAUGCAACAUGUAUCACAUAGGGAUGAUUGAAUAUUUUUUUGGGCCACGGGCCCAUUUUGACAAAAUUUGGAUAGGCUUCCUACAAAGGGACACGGUACUUGGGACCGAGCCCUGCUAGGUAUAAAUGACAUGAUGCAAAUAACAAUGACCUAAAGGCUGACCUACAUUUGGGGUUCACUAGACAAGGCAAUUCGGGGUGGCAUGUGGUCGAUGGUGGCUGCUCUAGCUGUACGCCCACUCCACGCUCCCACGCCACCCCCUAAACACACGGGUAACUCACAAAAAGGCCGUGUACGCUCAAACGUACUCCGAAAGACUUGUUGCAGAAAUAAGUCUCAUGGUUAUGCAAAUAAUGACAGUUUAUAAAGUAGUAACACAUAAAGGAAAAACUGUAAACAAAUAAGCAGCUAGCAAAAUAAUAAAAGGACAUAAACAAAAAUAAAAAUCAAAUAAAGCAAACAAAACACAUAAAAACCUCAACCUAAUAUCUUAAAAGCCAACAAGAUCAAGUAUUAGCUCGAACCUGCAACUCCCCAGCAGAGUCGUCAGAGCUGUCACACCUUUUUUUUUUUACAAACUUCACUAAAUCCUCUCAAAAAUAUAAAAAGAUUUAUAAAGCUCAAAAAAGGUUUUCAAUUAGAAAGUGAUAAAGAUGGUGUUCAAAAGGAUUAACUCAGAGUCGCCACCUGAUAUUGGUUUCGGUGUGCCAGGUCAUCGUUUUAUAAAAAUAAUUUUUCCUUUUUAAGUAUUUUGGACUCCAAAACUAAGUCUGCACCAGAGAUUCGGGUAAGAGGGUUCAUUUGACUCGGGAAGAAGGUGUUAGGUAUUCCCCAAGUCUCGUAACUAGUACGGUUGCAUAAUUGAUCUAGUUGGCUUUUAAAAUAUUCAAAUUGAGGUUAAAAAACACACAAUUGGAAAAUAAAUAUCAAAAGAGGUUCGAGGUCGUCCCCACCUAAUAAAAGCAAAAAAAUAAAAAGUAAAAUCCCAUACUAGCCUAUACUAUACUUCCUCCACGGUGCUCGUCGAGGCCUCCAAAAUAUUUACAAAGUUCUUCGGGGUAUUCCCCGGAAUGAAAUUUCUACAAAUCAUUCGGGGCAUUCCCCCGAUAAAUUAAACUAAAGGAGGCGACCUCUCACCUCAAAAGAAACUUAAGCACGAACGUCCUAAAGGCUUGCCUAUCCAAGUGUGGUCGGCCUAGGCAUGCUCCUAACGGACAAUGUAAUAGAAGCAAAAUAAAUAAAACUAAAGAAAUAAUAACUAAUUUCAUGCUUAUUCCCUUUUUAAACAUUUUUUAUUAGACCAAGCCCGAUACCUAAAAUAUAGAGACAAAUCCUUAAAUCAAUUCAAUGCAACUAAAUGAAACCAAUCACUGAAAGUACUAGACCAAAUGACUAUAUUGAUGAUAGCACAUAAGAGAUGAAAAAUUACCAUCUGAACACUUAGCAUCAACAGAAACAAGACCAAAAAAAUCAGAAACUAAACUUGAACCUAUAAAGUUUAAUGGGAUCUAAGAAAAAUGAAAAUAAAUUAUCCAAAAUAUUUUAAUAAGUGAUAAUUCUAAAUGGGGGUCAAUGAAAGAGGUUCUGAAUCAAGAAAUGACACUGAUCUGUUAAAACUCAUAAGGAAUUUUCAAGACGCCAAAUUUUCACGAAUUAAACAUACUAACUAAUUCACUAAGGAAAAAUAACGCAAUUUUGUAUUCUUUUCAAGUAUUUCCAUCGAACAUGUGACUAAAUUUAGAUAUAUAAAUGUCAAAUGACAUUAACGUCAAUAACUGUUGUUAGACAAGGAAAAUAACAUGUCCAAUGAACACUUUAUGAUGAAACAUAAUUUGAAAACUGACAAACCAAGCCUAACAUGCAUUAUCUAAGAUAUUUUAAAAUGAUUCUUUAGAUAAAAAAACUGUGUUGUUAACUACUAGAUUAUGACUUCUAGAAAAUCACUACAACUUACUAAAAUUUGAUACAAUAAAAUAUUUAAGACUUGAAGACGAGUGACUAUGCGGUUUUAAACUAGGCAACGAGAUUUAGAGGAGAAAACCGGAAUCCACAACUUAAUAGAAUCUAAAGGAAUCUAUAUAGUUUUCUCAUGGCAAUUCCAGCAAUUUUAAACAAAGAAGUUUUAAGAAAAGCAGUAUGAUAAACCAAGAAAUUUUGAGAAAAAGUAGUAGGCCUAUAUCAUAAUAUUCAUCACAACAUAUGGCACAAAAUCACAAGUAAUAGAGAAAUAUAGAAGAAGUGAACCUGAAAUGAGAAAAAUCAGCAACUACGCAGAGUUUGACUCCAAAAUUCAAGCGAGGACACAAUGAGAAGAGCCCGAAUGGAAAUCACGAACAACGACUCCAAAAAUUCGAACACCCACUCGGCUCUUUUCCGUCCGAUUUUUUUUCCUAUGUUUUGUUUGUAUUAAGAAAAUGAUGCUUAGUUGCGUACAUGAAUGAGGAUAUUUUGGAGCAUGGGCAGUUUGUCCUCUAGUUCUUCAUUUAUGUCGGUUGAACCAAGUAGGAGUAUUAGUUACUGCUAGAUUAGAUCUAUAUGCAAUGGUGCAUUGUCAACUCAGGGAGAUUUUCUUUUCAUAUGAAAAAUUAGAACCUCCAAACUCUUACAAAGAUAAAUAUUGCCAAGAAAAUAGCAACGACCGGAGUUGUAUAGAGCGUGUCUGAUUUUUUGGUUGAAAACAGUGAUGGUACGCAUCUGAAGAACCAGAAAGCAGGGGGUGCGGCCGAUUCGCUUCUCCUCUUGUCCAAGUGAAAGAGAUCAAUUAAAUGGGAGGAUAUGUUAGGUCUUAGGGUUAGGCUAGUGGGUCAAUUGGGCCAAGAUGAUUGGGCUUGGUGAAUUGGGUUAUAAAUUUGGCUUUUAAUUCAAUAAUUCUUGCAAUUUGGCUAAAAAUAUUAGUUUCUUUUUCUAAAAUAAUACUAUAAAAAUGUAAAAUUAAUCCUAAUUAACUAAAACAACUAUAUUAUGACAUGAAACUAUUUUUGAUGUUUUCAAAGAUUAUAUUAAAAUAAAAUAAAAAUAGGUUAAAAGUAAUAUAUCUUUCUAAAAAUAUCUAAUGCGUGAAUUAAAUAGAGAAAUAUGGAACUAUUUUUGUAUUUUUCAAUUUUGUGAUAAAAAUAAUGUAAAAGAGUCAAAUUUAGUUGAAAUAACUAUAUUAGACCUAAAUUAAGUAUUUAAUUCCUAAAAUAUGUAAAAUAUUGGGGAGGGUCAAAAAUCACAUGUCUAUAGUGUUAAGUUCACCGGUGUUACGGUCUUCUGCAAUUCGCCUUUGGGGUAAGAUAUUGUGAAAUAAUAUUGGAGAAACGACUGUUAGAUAUUGCGGGGUGUGGUGUUUCAGGAUUGGUGUUCCUAAUGUUGGCGGCUCGAGAAAGAUGAUCUUCGGAAAGAUUUAAAGUUAGUAGCAAUUUUUAGGUUCCAGUACUACGAAGAUCGAUUUUAUUUGAGGCAACAGCUGAGCAGUAAAGGAUGAGGAAGGACAUGUGGGGAGUGUCAAGCGGUGGUUAAAAUUUCUAGAAGGCCAGGUAUGAGAAGCAAAGGUCGAGUAGCCGAUUAAAGAGGUGAGUUCUGCUAAAGUGGGAGAGCGGCGGAGUUGCAUACGGGCUUUGUGGUAGGAUGACUACGUGCCUUAAGGUGAGUUUGGAAUGAUUUGGGAAUUUUAGUGAUUGGUGAUUGGGGUCUAUGGAUUUAAUUUGAAGUACGGACUACUAUACGGCAAGAGAUAUGAUAUAACGGAAAGGAGUUGCUUGAAAUGAAGAAGGAUACAACAUAACUUUGAAUUGGAAGGAUGUUGUAGCACAUUUAAUUGAUGCCCACGAGGGGUGAAUGAACUUGUGCAGCUAGAGAGUGAGCUCAGACUUAGGAUGGGUUAUUGAUGUCGUAGUGAUUGUACCCCGUGCAGCAGCGUUGGAAGACGUCAACACGUAAAUUCCAUAGAUGGGUUAUCUCCAGUGAGCAGCUCGGCGGUCGCAUGGAUUGGCGAAGCUUCUGCGAAGAAUUGUAUUGAUUAGAUAGUAAAGAGAUCGGUUGUGCGAAUGUGGUUAAUGAUUCAGAGUAUGAAAAAGGGGUUUUAUAGAAAGAUUUCGAGAAUUUUUGCGAUUGAUUGCGCAAGGUUAUGUCAAUAAGAGAUAAAAAAUCCUGGUGAAUUCCAAAGUUGUGUAAUAGUGGAUUCAAGCUAAGUGGGAGAGUCCCACCGCUUAGGAUUGGGUUGCAUGAUUAACUACUUGCGAAGCUUCUGGUUAUUAGCACAUUGAUGAGUUAUUUUAGCUACGGGAAAAGAACAUAAGUGGUAAUUUGAGUAAAUGAAUUGUUAAAGGUGUGUUAUGGUUGGCCUUAUUGUCUCAUGUUCAGACUUGGGGAAAGAUAUAGGAUUUAUGCCUUGUAUAGAUAUGGGGUUCAAGGAAAGUGAUUCUGUCGGGUGCUUCGUCGUGAGGGUAUUCAUGUGCUAGGAAAUUCGUGGAGUUGAUUAUAUUCGGGGCCAAGUCAGAGCAGUUGGCUCUCAUCAGUGGUCCUAGUGAAUUCAAAAGUUAAAGCGUGGUGACUAAUGAUUUCUUGCUUAUAGGUACUGUUAAGAAUCAAGCUUUGUAGCAGCUUAUGAGAGAGGCCCAGAAUGUUCUACGAUAUUUUGACUUGCAGUGUAGCAUUUGGGAAAUAUGAAAUGGUUCGUGGGAUUUGAGACAACAUGGUCUCGUGAUUUAAGGUCAUUCGGGAUGAGUGCGGAUGGAGUGUGUUAUGUGUUGAAUGGAGUUAUAUUUAUUUCUAAGGAAAUCAAGGAUAAAUUGGAAGAAUAUAGAUUGGUUAGCCAUAGUUUAAUUGGCAUAUUGGUUGUAGUGAUCAGUUCCUUCAGCGUGACCGAGUUAUGCAAGUGAUUCGUGAUGGUACGUGUGAGGCCGGUCGACCGCCGUAAUUGAUGUUAUUCAGAAGUAUUCUACUGUUAUGGCCUGUUAUGUGUAGGCGGAUCCCGGAAGGGAUAUGGUGGCUUAAACCACUACUUAGAGAUUUGCAUAUUCCACGGUUAUGAGAAUUCACCUAUGUGUUGCUAUGAUUCUCCUGAAGUGAGUUAAAUGAAAAGUUUUUAUAUGAUAAAGUGUUAGCCUAUUAGUGGUUCCGAAGUUAUGAUGAAAAACGUGUUCUAUCGUAUAUUGGCAUGUUGGGUGCAAUGAGUGGUAUAUAAUUUGAAGUGAGGAUCAAGGUUGCAGUUCAGUGUUGACAAGGAUGUCACGAGCUCGGAUGAGCAGGCAAGGAGUUUCGAUGAUUAAGGUAAGUUGAUAUUGUCUUCAGCGUCACCUGAGAUUGGUGUUUUGUGAAAAAGAUUUGCUUCCUGGUUAAGGAUUCUUGAUCGCUUUUCAGCGUUAGUGCGGCUGGUGGUUUGGAUGUACAGACUUGUUAUCUGUUACGGAAGGCUGUGGGAGCGUGUCCCAUGGGAAGGUUGUAUAAGUGUGGCAUGUAGUCACUUGAUUGAUUGAAGAAGUUAAACCAAGUAUGAAGAUUUUAGUGAUGUCGUUAAAUUGAGAAUUGAUGCCUGGAGGGCACUCGAUUUAUUGGGUUGUAGACUAUGGAGGGUCACUCCGGUUAUGAUGGUUGUUCUUGUAUGUUAUGAGAAAAAGGGGGGUGAUUAUGGACCUAUGAAAGGUUAUUGGCCUAGUUCGGUGUGAUCAGAAUCAGCUUGAGGUCUGUGGAUGGAUCUAAAUGUAAAUAUGGGCUCUAUAUCAGACCAGAUGUGUCAUUUUGGCAAUGUGCUCCUUAUGGAAGAAUAGUCGGGGUGUUAUUUCAUCGUCAUCUAUUUCAUGUAAUGAUGUAUUGCACUGUGUGAGUCGUGAGACGACUUGGUGAAUUUCUUAUGUGUUGAUAUUCUGCGUAGAGAUGAUGUUAUAUGAGCAGAAUGGCUCUUGAGAUUCAGAUCGUAUAUCGCACCUCAGUUGUGCUUGAGUUGUAGCUUAUAGCGCUAUAUGUCUCCCCAGGGAUGGUAUUAUGCACUUGACGUGCUGGUGACUGACAUUCGGUAUUUUGAUGUAAUGAGCAAUCACAAAUUAUCUAAUCUAAGUGUUUGGAAUAGUAGUUAGAUUCAUCAAUCCCCUCCAUUACACCAGUGCAUCAAUGAUCCCUUAACCCAACAAGACGAUAGGCUAACUAUUAAGGAUAUUUGGAUUAGUAAUCAGUGAGACUUAUCAAAACAUUUCAUAGAACUUCAACCAUUCUUGAUCAACAAAAUAAAGGCCACCACUCCCAGUUCUAAAAGUUGUGACACUCUUAUCUAGUCACUAACCACAAAUGGUCACUUUGUUAGCAAGUCGUGCUACAAUCUAUUAGAUACCCAAUCAAACGAUGGUAAGGAUUUUGCUUGGAUUUGGAAGAUGAAUUGUCCAAACAAAAUAAAAUUCUUGAUAUGGAAAUGCUACCAUUGAGAGACUACCUACUAGAAGCUAUUUAAAUCACAUUGGUAUAAACAUUGAUCCUACUUGCACCUUUUGCAAGAAUCAUAAGGAAAUCAUUACCUACAUAUUCAUGCAUUGCAUAGCCGUAAGAGACUUUUGGCUUCAAUUAGGGAUAGACAUAGAAAGCUGGAACAUAACUAAUAAUUGGUUGAUUAACAUUCGUGAUUACAAUUGUUUAGUAAAAAAGCGCAUCAUUAAUUGAAAAGAUAUAUAUCCUCUUGGUAUAUGGACUAUUUGGGUGAAUAGAAACAACAACUUAUAUAAUAACACCACAAACAAAUUAUUCAUGCAUUAUGCUUAUAGGUAGUCAGUGGAAUAUAAGCUCCUUACAGACAAGGAAGCUACGCCACAAGAAAAAAAUCCCAUCUCGGUAAAGUGGCUUAAGCCAACUUGUAACCAUAUUAAGCUUAAUAUCGAUAGUUCCUUUAAAGAAGAAAUUUCUCUUUGUGGCUUUGGGGUUUUUUUUAGGGACAAUAAGGGUAAAUAGGUGGUUAGAUUCUAAGGGUCUCUACCGGGUCUAUCUCCUUUACAUGUUGAAUUAAUGGCACUAGGGACAUGCCUACAUCUUGCAAUGGAACAAGGUUUCACAAACAUAGAAGUAGAAUCAGACUCCACUGAUGUCAUUAGCUGCUUAGAAAAUGGUUACACACCCCUUAACAACAUUACUCAUGAAUGUAGGUCAUUGAUGAACCAUGUGAAAGUUCAAACAAUCCAGCACAACUUCAGAGAGGCAAACAAGCUGGCUAAAAAUGCUAUCCAGGGAAACAAUAGCAAGGAUCUUGCAAUUAUGUACUAUUCACCAUCUUUUGUAACCGUUGUCUUAUCCUACAAAUAUGAAUGUUCUGUCUACCUAGUUAAUAACAUUAGCAAAGAUGCAUGCGCUAAACCUAUAUCAUUUGGAAAUAAAAAUGUCCUACGUGAAAUUAGUAGUUUUUGUAAUAGCCAAGUAGGUAAUGUCCCUUUGGACAAUGCUAAUUAUGUAAACUCUAUUUUUGUGAUAUUUAUAUAAUAGAUCCCUGCUUAUCAACAAAAAAAGAGUACUGAACUGUCAUUCAUUUUUUGGGUACAUUAGAUUAUUUUUCUUUUUUUAGAUUUUCACCCGAUUUUUGAUAUCCGUAUUGGAGUUCGACUAGGUUAUACGUUUUUUUUGGUUUUUUAUCCGAUUUUUUAUAUCCGUAGUGGAGCCACAGAUUGUUAAUUAUCUAUUAAAGGAAUAUGAUAUAGAUGUUAAGAUACAAAUUGUUAAUUAUUAGUUGUUAAUUGGUAGUUUUUUUAAGUUUGUUAGUUGCCAACUGUAUGAUAGUUAUAUGCCAGCUGUAUGGUAGUUAGUUGCCAGAUAUAGUAGUUGUAUUAUUUUCCUUGUUAGUUUGUAUAUAACUCUCUAAUUGAAUAUUAGUAGAUUGAGAUUAUUUUUCCCAUUUCUUUCUUCUUCCUCUCAUCAUUUUCUUCUCCCUCACACGACUGCUACUUCCAGAAGCUUCCAUCGAAUCUCUAUUGGAGCUUAGCUCAAGCUCAUUCUCAGCUGGACAUCCAAAAUUGUUAUGGUAUCAGAGCUAAUGGGAAUUUCAUCUCCGAUAAUUGUGUUCCUGUUCUAGAUCGACUAAUUCGUUGGUUUCAUUCGACACAUACAAACCUAAAUUCGAGUCGUUUUUGGGAUUUAUCUUUAUGAUUCACAUUUUUUUCGACUGCAAAUAUCAAUUGCAAAUUACUAGUUUUUUGUUCUUCGAUACUUCAGCUCAAUCGAUUCAGUCAUGGCAAUUCUAUAUGAGAAUGAAUGUUCUAGUGAUUUAAAAGCCAAUUUGUUGGCUGAUGGUGGUCAGUCCGGUGUAGAUCUGAGUAGUCCUUUCUACAUGCAUCCCUCAGAUAAUCCCAACGCAAUGUUAGUAUCAGUUUCUUUUAAUGGCGUUGGCUACAAAUCAUGGAGGAGGAGUGUGUUGUGUGCCCUUUAUGUGAAAAACAAAGUAGGUUUCAUCAAUGGGGAAUGUAAGAGACCAGAUCCAGAUUCUCAAAAGCUUCGAAUGUGGAGAGAUGUGACGAUAUGGUAACAUCGUGAAUUUUGAACUCAUUAUGUAAGGAAAUUGUAGAUAGCGUCGAAUGUGUAAAUGAUGCAACAGAAUUGUGGAAGUAAUUAGAAGACCGAUAUGACCAGACCGAUGGUGUAAAACUAUAUCAGAUUCAAAAGGAGAUCAACGAUCUUUCCCAAGGAUCCCUUGAUAUUACAUGGUAUUAUAGUAAGAUGAAGAAGUUGUGGGAAGAACUGAGAAACUUAAGUGCUAAAAAUUAAUGCACUUGUCAUUGCACCUGUGGAGCAAAAGAGAGUAUGCACAAUGCAGAACAAGAUAGGUGACUAAUACAUUUUCUUAUAGGGCUUAAUGAGGUCUACACUGUGGUACGAGCAACAUUUUAAUGAUGAAUCUAUUACCUUCAAUGGAACAUGUUGUCUCCUUGUUAUUCCCAGAUGAGAAACAGAGGGAAAUUAGACAUAGUAAUCAGCUUGCCUUUGAAUCAACUUCCCUGAAUGUGAACACCUUAAAGCAGAACAGUUACAGGACCAAUUACUCUCCUAGCAACAACUAUAAUGGUCAAACAAGUCAAGGCCAAUGUGUGAGUAUUGUAAGAGGCUGAGACACAUCAAGGAUAAAUGUUAUAAACUACAUGAAUACCCUCAGGGUUCUGGUCAAAACUUCAAGGGAAACAAUAACUUUUGCCUGCACAAUUCAAAUCAAAAUUUCAAGCCCAACAAUAGUUUUAACAGGGUGAAUAGGACAGUUGCAAAUGUACAUGGACCUCAGGUAAAUAUGCCAUCACAUGACGAAUUUGAUGCACAAAAGGAUAACCAAAGUGUAAGUUUGACUUAGGAGCAGUAUGGGCAAAUCAGGAGCCUGCUACAACACUUCUAGAUAGGAAAUGGAGGAGAGAGUACCAGCAAUGUGAAUUUAGCCUGUGCAACUGCCAACUUUGCAGGUAUUGUUGCAUGUACAUCUUUUAUUGAUUUUAGUAAAUUGUCAUGUAAUUGUUUCAAAAAUAGAGCUGACUCUUGGAUAUUAGAUUCCGGAGCUUCAAAUCACAUGACCUUUAACAAAUCCUUAUUGAUCAAAAUUAUAACCUUACCAUACCCUCUUCUUGUCAUUCUCUCAAAUAGAUAUAAAGUAAGGGUAACACAAAUUGACAAUACCUGAAAUCAUCCUGGAGUGUUGUUUAUACCUUUUUUCAAAUAUAAGUUGAUUUCUAUUCACCCUCUAACAGAACCUAAACGUCUAGUUGAUUUCUCUAACAUUUCAUGUUUGUUUUUGGCCUCUUCAAUGAAGAGGCUUCUGGUGAUUGAUAAGUCCAUAGAUGGGUUAUACUUCCUAUGUCAAAAAGGCCUGCAGAACAAACAGUACAGUCCUACAGUUAAUGUUCCUUUUUUUGUCAGGUUGUUGUUGUGCUUGCAACACAGUAUCACCUUCACAACAAUAUAGAUAAGUCAUUACUCAUGAAUACAUGUGUUCCUCUUUCGAUUGUAAAUAGUUCAUCUGCAAGAAAUAAAGAACAAUCUUUUACUCUGAGUUCUCAUGAACCUAUUAGAAAUGAUGUGAAUAUUCUAUGGCAUAAUAGACAUGUCCAUGUGCCUUUUUGUCAAAUUGAGAAACAUUACCUCAAUACCUUCUAGUUUUUCAUCCAAACAACCUUUCUUUUGUUCUAUUUGCCCCAUGGCCAGAUAAGAAAGACUUCCCUUUCCCCAGAAGACCAGCAUUACCACCAAAAUAUUUGAAUUAUUAUAUGUUGACCUGUGGGGACCUUACCAUGUUACAACACAUGACAACUGUAGGUACUUUAUUAUUACAGUGGAUGACUUCAGUAGAUCCACCUGGACUCACCUUCUAUCAUGUAAAAACGAUGUCCUUCAAACUAUUAAAUAUUCACAGAUGAGAAGUUUUGGAUGUUUGUGCUACCCUACAGUCCCUAAACCUCACAAGGACAAGUUUGAACCAAGAACUACCCCUCAUGUUUUUGUUGGUUAUCCCUUCAACAAAAAAGGUUAUAAGGUCUUGAAUUGGGCCACCAGAAAAAUACACAUUUCCAGAGAUUUCACCUUCAAUGAGUUUGUUUUUCCUUUUGCCAUGCAUAAUGACACUGCAUUCUUUCCAUCAGUCCUCAAUUCUAUUCCUUUUAUUGAUCAUUUGGAAGUAGAGCCAGAACAAGACACUGCUUAACACAGGUCAAGUGUCAUACAGCUUGCAAUGCCCUUAGAUCAUUCCUCUCCUAUCACAGCCUCACAUAAACAGUUUCCUAUACACAACAUCUCCCCAUCAAUGGAUCACUAUUUCCCUACAGAAGGUGAUUCUACUCCCAACAGUCCAGCGCCACCUACACCACAUGCUAGCCGUAAAAAGUCUCUUAGAGAACAUAAAACACUUGCAUACUUGAAAGACUACAUUCAUGCCACUCCAAACCUAAAGCCAAAGGAUGUUGCACCUACAUGCCCUGCUAACUCUUUUUCACUUAAUACAUUAUUCUUCAUUACAUUUCCAUAUCUACUGAAUCACUAACCCAUGAUAGUCAAGCUCUUAUGAGAAACAUUUGUCAUGACAGAGAGCCAAUUUCAUAUAAGGAAGCUGCUAUCAAUCUUGCCUGGAAUGAAGCAAUGACUCAGGAAUUUGAUGUUUUACACAACAGUCACACAUGGGACCUAGUGUCUUUGCCACAUGAAAAGAAAGCUAUAAGAUGCAAAUGGGUAUACAAAAUAAAACACAAGGCAGAUGAAAGUGUUGAAAGGUUCAAAUCAAGGCUAGUUGUGAAAGGAUACACACAACAAGUUGGAAUUUACUACAUAAAAACAUUCUCCCCCUGUGGUAAAGAUGACCACAGUCAAAGCUUUGAUUGCAACUGUAGUUAAGAAAGGAUGGUUCUUGUUCCAACUUGAUGUCAAUAAUGCAUUCAUUCAUGGUGAUCUUCAUGAAUAAGUAUAUAUGGAGAUCACACCGGGAUUGGUCUGUAAGUUAAACAAGUCCUUAUAUAGCCUCAAACAGGCAAGCAUGUAGUGGUAUGCUAAGCUGAGCGAAGCAUUGUGCUCCAGAGGUUAUUCACAUUCUAUGCUUGAUUAUUCACUAUUCUACAAGAAAUAAGGCACUAAUGCAAGUUAUGUGACAGUUUAUGUAGAUGACAUAGUUGUCAUAGGCACUGAUAUAAUAGAAUUGGAGAAACUGAAGAGUUUUCUUCAUGCCAGUUUCAAAAUUAAGGACCUUGGUAAGCUGCACUACUUCCUGGAAUGGAAGUAUUGUAUAAGGCAGAGGGGGUGGUAAUAUCACAAAGAAAGUUUGCACUAGAUCUAUCAAAGGAGUAUGAUUAUUUAUCUCAAAGUGGUUUCUCUUCUCCAUUGGACCCUACUGUCAAGUUGAAAGCCAAGGAGGGUGCCACAUUACAAGAUCCUACUUACUAUAGAAAACUAGUGGGGAAGCUCAAUUUCUUAACCAACACCAGAGUAGACAUUGCUUAUGGAGUCCAAUACUUGAGCCAAUUCAUGCAAGACCCUAGAUAGCCUCACCUUAAGGUAGCCUUUCAUUUGCUCAGAUAUCUGAGAACUAAUCCAACAUUGGGAAUAUUUUUUUCCAAAGAUGAGGACUACACUGUGAGAGCCUAUUGUGAUUCUAAUUGUGCAUCGUGUCCAAAUUCUAGAAAAUCUCUCAUUGGUUACAUUGUCAUGCUAGGCCACAGUCCUGUUAGCUGGAAGUACAAGAAAUAAGAAACUGUUUCAUUAUCAUCUGCAGGGGCAGAGUACAAGUCACUUAGGAAAGUUGUAGGAGAGUUGGUUUGGUUGAGCAGACUAUUUGGAGAGUUGACAGUUCCUUUUCCUCAACCAAUUGAUGUCUACUGUGACAGUCAAUCUGCACUUCAUAUAGCUAGAAACCCUGUUUUAUGAACGAACCAAACACAUCGAGGUUGAUUGUCACUUUGUACGUGAUAAACUUCAAGAAUGACUCUUUUCCUUGCACCAUAUCACUACUACUGCUCAAUUGGCAGACAUCCUAACCAAGGCCUUGACAAGCAUCAAACAUUUUGCCAUACUGAACAAGUUGGCUAUGCUUCCCUCACUUCCUACUUGAGGUGGGUGUUAAGACACAGAUUGUUAAUUAUUAGUUGUUAAAUGGUAGUUUGUUAGUUGCCAGUUGUAUGGUAGUUAUAUGCCAGAUGUAGUAGUUGUAUUAUUUUCAUUGUUUAUUUGUAUAUAACACUCUAAUUGAAGAUUAUAGAUUGAGAUUCUUUUUUCUAUUUCUUUCUUCUUCCUCUCAUCAUUUCUUCUCCCUCACACGACAGCUACUUCCAAAAGCUUCUAUCGAAUCUCGAUUGGAGCUUAGCUCAAGCUCAUUCUCAGCUAGACAUCCAAAAUUGUUAAUAUUUAUUGCAUGAUAUUCAUAUUGGAGCCCAACUAGGUUAUUAGAUUUUUUUUGUUUUUCACGUGAUGACUGAUAUCCGCAGUGGAGUCCGACUAAUUAUCCAAAUUUGAGUCGAAAAAUUUCACAUUAGGGGUAAAGCACUCCAUAACAAAGGCGAUUUCGUAUUCAGAGUUAGAACCCGAGACCUCUAAUUAUAGAUGAAGAAGUACUUACUACUCCAUCAUAACUCUUGUUGAUAAAAAUUUAAGAAAUGUCCCAAACUAGAUUCGAACCCGAGACCUCCGGUGUUUUAGAAUUUAGCUCAUCCAGUAGGUCACACCGUUCUCUUUUUUCCCCAUAUACCAAUAGUUUUCUAUGUUUCAAUUAAGAUGACGCAUUUUCAUUAUUAGUCUGUUCCAAAAAAAAUGACAUAUUUUUCCAAUUGAAAAUAAUUCAACUUUAAAUUCUUUAUUUUACUCAUUUUACCCUUAAUUAAAAGAUUUAUAACCAUACAAAUGUCAUGAUCCCACAAAAUUUUUACCCUUCAAGUUUUUAAGAUCAAAAAGUCAAACCAUCUUAAACAAAUAGAGUAACAAAGUUCGUGCAGUGCCACAAUGGGGAAGUGGCUCAUUUUCUUUUUCUCUGUGCCAAAAGAAAGAAAAAAGUGGUGUAAAGAUGCCAAUCGGAUUUGAAUUUGGCCCUACACGAACAUGCAACUUGGCUUAAGUUUUGCUUUUUAAGUAAAAGGAUAUCUAAAGUAUAUACCAUUGCUUCCUGUGUUAAUUUAUAUUCUACUUUAUAUGGUAGUGAUGCCUUCUUCUUCUUUUUUUUCAUGUUUAAUUUGAAAGAAGCCUAUUGAGAAUUGAUUAAGUUUAUGUUUUAAUUAUUUAUGAUUGUCGGUCGCAAAUGCUCAAGUUGGAGAGCUUAGUAAUCAGUUUAGUUUCAAGGAAGGAGCUUGAUAGCUCAUCAUUUGGCCAAAGAAGAAUCUGAAAAAGUUAAACUGUGAUGUAGUUUAAUUGGGGCGGCGUGUUGGCCAGUCAAGAAAUUUCAUGUCCAAAAAAUGAAGAUGGCUGGGAUGAGAAUAUUGAGGUGGAUGUACGGAUAUACCAGAUUAGAUAAAAUUAGAAAUGAAGUUAUUUGGGACAAGGUAGGUAUGGCCUCCGUGGAGGACAAAUGCGGGAGACGAGACUUAGAUGAUUCGGGCAUGUUAAGAGGAGAGACAAUGAUGCUCCGGUGAGGAGGUGUGAGCGGCUUGCAUGGGAGGGCCAAUAGAGAUGUAGAGGCAGACCGAGGAAGUAUUGAGGAGAGGUGAUUAGACAAGAUAUGGGUUGCUCUAACUCACUAAGGACAUGACCAUGGAUAAGAAGGUGUUGAAGUUGAAAAUAAAGAUAAAAGGUUAGGUGGUCCAGUGUUGUCCUUGUGUGUAGCAGUAGCUUUGAUACACCACUUGAUGUCUUUUGUGUUUUUUCCUAUCCCUAGACUUCUAUUACUACAUGUUGUUAUCUUGUUUUCGAUUUUCUAAUUGCAUUAUGUACUAUUAGUUUUGUAUUUUUGCUUUGGUUGUCAGAUCAGUUUGCUUGUCAUUACCCCUCUCUUCCCCUUUUGAGCCGAGGAUCUACCGAAAAUAGCUUUUCUGCCUUCUUAAAAGUAGGGGUAUAAUUUGGGUAUACCCUAUCCUACCAGACCACACUUGUGAAACUACGUUGAGUAUAUUAUUGUUGUAGUAGUAUUAAAAUUCAUCUCCCAGCUAACAUAGUCGAUACCACUAUACCAAAUGACCAAUUAGGAGCAAUUCUUUAUUAAAAACUCGGAGAGUGUUUUGGUUUAAUUUGGCUAGUCUUGAAAACAUUUAGUGUAUUUAGCGGUGGCGAAACCAAAAAAUUCAAUAAAAGUAUUCAAAUUUAGAAUACUCUUUGCCAAUAAGUUACGCAAGGGUGUUCAAAGUCUAAUUUUUAAUUAAUAACAAAUAAUAUUUUAUCUUAUACGAAAUAUAAUUUUUGACAAAGGGUUGGACAAACAUAGUUUCGCCCCUAGUCCUUAGUGGCACUCCUAUUACUGUAAUCACUGUUUAAUUUCUUUCAUUUUCUUGAUUAAAAGUGUUGAUAGCUGGCUAGAAUCAAUCUACUUUAUUUUUCAAGAUUACAAAUAUAAUUUUAUUUUUUUGGAGAUCAUUUGUAGAUAUUUUUUGGGUGAUCUGAUCAUGUAAUUUUUUUUACACUAUUGGUAUAAAUUAAACUCUUUUACCAUAGAUUUAAUUUUAAAUGAUAGUAGAGAUAGCAAACGAUGCGGUGCGGUGCGGUUGCGGGGCAAACCCGUAUAAACCCGCGAAGAUUUAAACCCGCGCCCGCCCCUCAUAGCAUGUGUACCCGCAUACACCCGUCCCACACUCACACCCGCAUUCACCCGCCCCGCCCCGCCCCGUAUUUUUUUCUUUCAUUUUUCAAUUUUAUAUCUUUUGAGCUUUUGGUUGGACUUUCUGAUUUAAUCAAGCGAAAAAUUGAAAUCUCUUUUGUUGCUCUUAAGUUACUGUGCCCUUUAAAAAAUUAUUGAGCCAAAACUUAAUAAAAUGACAACAAAGUAUUUAAUGAAUCAAAACUUCUAAACAGAAAAUGACAACAAAUUAUUGAAUAAGACAUGUGAUUUAAUACUAGUAUAGCUUUCUUGCUUUUGAACUCUUAAGCUAUUGUACCCUUUUAAAAAAAUAUUUAACAUAUAAAACAUUUUUAUUUUUAUUUAGUUAUACUUUUUAUUGUUUCACGAAGGGGAGCCUUGGCGUAAUUGGUAAAGUAACUGGCAUGUGACCAGGGUAAGGCUGCGUACGAUAGACUUUUAUGGUCCGACUCUUCCCUGGAGCUCGCGCAUAGCGAGAGCUUAGUGCACCGGUCUGCCCAUUUUUAUUUUUUAUUGUUCCAAUUUUAAUACUAUAAAUCUAUUUAGUAAGAUAAAUAUUUUUUUAUUUAAGAUUUGCAACACAUUAGUGUUUUAAGUGAUUUAUUAGAAAAAGAUAGGAAUAACACAAUUAUAUUCAUAAAGAAUUUCCACGAUAUAGAUGGUGUAUUUGAUUUUUUUUAAAUAAAGAAUUUCCAUGAAGUUAGCAACAUCUUGCCCAUCCCAGAUUAGUGUUCAACCAUUUUGAUAGUUCAAAAUUCAAACUGAUAAUAAAUAUAGACCGUCUAUUUGUGUUUUGCCUUUUUCCAACAAAAUACCUUAUUUUCCAACGACAUUGAAGGUGCAAGUACAAUUAAGCACUAAUAUGUUUCAUUACACCUGCUCAGUGACCGUGGUUAGCUUUCAGACUGAAUGUGACUUUUUUUUUAAAAAGACCAGCACCCGCCCCGCAACCCGCAAAGAUUUUUUCUUAAAAAAAUAAACCCGCCCUGUCCUGCACCCGCAAAGCCCAAACCCGCCCCGCCCCGCAUAGGUCGAAACCCGAUUCGCCCCAUUGUCAUCCCUAAAUGUUAGGAACAAUGCUAAGGGAUCAACCAAGUAGUUGCCCGAGGGAUAGCUUAUCUGUUGCAUAACAUUCCCUUCUCCAUUCACCAUCCCUACCGUAAUUCUCUUAUAGUGUACUGUAUUACAUGAAAUGUAGUUCAUGAUUUUUACUUCGCUCUCUUUAGCAUUUUGAUUUAACAUUACCCAAGCAGCUUGUACCUUCUCAUCUUCUUUAUCAGGUAACCUGCCAAUUCAACAUAUUGAGCGACAUUUUGCCUGUAAAAUUCAUUAAUAAAUAAGUAUCUCCCUACCUCGAUGUAAUUAAAAAAAAAAGAGUAGUUCCCGACAAUAGUUUAUACACUCAACGAAGAAAGAAAACAUAACAUUCUCUACUCAGAGAAUUUAGGCACAUACUCUACUUGAGUUCACGUGGUGGACGAAUUUUUUAUCUUGGUCGGUGGAAACCCAGAUUUCCCCAUGGUCAUAUGUAUGUCCAGUACUUCAAAUGUGGAAUCUUCCAUUUCUUUUUAAUUAUUAUUAUUAUUAUUAUUAUUAUUAUCUAUUUUUCAAGAAAAUGAAAAAAAAUCGAUUCAGAAGAAUUAACAUCAUUAGUUCGAAUGACUAGAUACCUUUGUAGUUUAAUUUAUACAACGACGUAACAACAACAACAAACAGAUUCAGUGUAAUUUUACAAUUGAAGUCUAGAAGGAUUAGUGCUUAUUCGUACCUUAUACAGAUAGAGAUGUUAUUUUCGAUAGACUGUGUUAGUAGUUUAUAUUUCUAUAUAUUUAAAAUAUUGCACUACUAUUUUCUAAUAUUGGUCAAAGUCACUGAUCAACAAACUUUCCAGAUCCUUUUCUGCAUUCUCUAUUCAUUAAUGGAGAAUUAUAUAUUUAUAGCAAAAGCAGUAUGGUCAAAGGUUAGUGUUGAUUCCAAUGUAACUUUGAGGAGCAGACACCACAUUAUAAGUACUGCUAAAUUAGUUAGGACCACAUGCAUCAAAGCUCUAAAACUUGCUGACACUGUUAAAAAAAAAUUAUAAAAAAGUUAUUGUUUAGAUUUGUAAACUUACCCAUUUGUAGGCAAACAAACCAGGACAUCAAGGAGAGAAAGAUAAACCUCUUGUUUAUCAUGCAUUCAUAUCUUUGAGAAGGCUAAAAGAAAAUUGGUUAAACCCUAAUUUUUCUUGAUAUUCAAACCCCAAUUUUUUUUUAAAAAAAAUCCUUACACAAAUAGCCAGCCAGAUUUACUUAUUUACUUUUGCUAACUUGUUUACAUAAAUUAUACAUGGUUGUACACAUAUUAUAUAUGAAUUGUAUAUAUAUUAUAUAUUCAUUGGUUAUUUUUUGUUUAAGUGGUUGGGUGAAAGGUUAUUUAGGUUAAUUUUUUUUCACAUGCGCAGUGACCUACUAGAAAAGUUCAACUCUUAGAGAUGAGACCAAUAGGAAACGUUUCACAAAUUAAAAGAAUUUGGGAUAAUAUUGAAAAAGAAAAAUGAACUUUUGAUUACUCUAAAUUAAAUGAACUUAUUAAGAAGCAAAAGGAGGGGGAAAAAACUGCUAAUUAGAGCUUUUAUUUAGACAGAGAGAUUCAGCUGGUCGGACUGAGCAAUAGUUUGACAAAGUGAAACAAGAAGCUUUCAGAGAAAAAGAAAAUCUAUUGCAAAAUAUUAAAUCCUCUACUUUUACUUUCUUUUCAAAUAAUUAGUUUUGAUUUAGUUAGAUGGUUGAUGAAUCUAUCAUCUUUUUUAGAUCGGAAAAGGGCUAAAUAUACCCCUAUACUUUCAAAUAUUGUUUACCUGUACCCUUUGUUAUAUUAUUGGGCUAUCCAUACCCCUGCCGUCAUACUUUGGAAUAAAAAUACCCCUAUUGUCAUACUUUGAAACAAAAAUACCCCUAUUUUGGAUGGAGUGCCACGUGGGAACACCAGAUUAAAACGACCUAUUUCUUUUUUUUACCCGAUCCGUUUUUUAAAAAACACACAACCUGACCCCUAUUUUCAUUUUUUCUAGUUUUUUUUUUUAAAUUUCAGUUUUGAAAAAACGAAAAUAUUUUGUUAAAAACAAAAAAAAUAUGUUUUUACAAAUUUGUUUUUCCAAUUUUUACUAAACAAAANNNNNNNNNNNNNNNNNNNNNNNNNCAAAAUUACCCCCCCCCCCACACCCACCACUCUUUUCCUUCUUUUUCGAUUCAUAUGUUAAAUAAAAUUUUAUAUACCUUAUAAAAAAAUCCUUUAUUUAUAGAACCCAAAGAAGCUAAAACCCUUUAAAAAAAAUUAAGUUUAUAACAAAAUAUUUUCUUUUUUUAAAAACUGAAAACAUUAUUUUCAACAAAAUAUUUUCGUUUUUGAAAAAUAUUUUUUUCCUUUUUUUCAGGUUUUUAAAAGAAAUUUGUUUUGUAAAAACUGGAAAAACAAAUUUGUAAAAAUAGAUUUUUUUUGUUUUGUUUUUUAACAAAAUAUUUUCGUUUUUUAAAAACUGAAAUUUUAAAAAAAAAAAUUGGAAAAAAAAUAAAAGUAGGAGUCGAGUUGGGGGUUUUCUUAAAAACAGAUCGGGUAAAAAAAAUGGGUCGUUUUAAUCUGGUGUUGUCAUGUGGCACUCCAUCCAAAAUAGGGGUAUUUUUGUUCUAAAGUAUGACGGUAGGGGUAUUGAUAGCCCAAUAGUAUAACGAAGGGUACAGGUAAACAAUAUUUAAAAGUAGAGAGGUAUAUUUAGCCCUUUGCCGUUUUUAGAUUAAAGUAACAGUCGGUGGAUUUAUAUUGUAUACUGUAGUAUGUGUUUCUAAUGUAUAUAGUACAACUGCAUUUAUCAAUACAUUAUAUGUUUGAUUUCAAAGGGAACACCCUUUUUUUAGUGUGCUAUAAGUAAAUCUCACUCUAGUGCAAUAGCUCUAAAUCAUACUAGAGAGAUAAACCACAAUAGACAAGCCUCGUACAACGAACUCGAUGACCGAGAAGCAUGCGUGGAAUUCCGAACCUGCAACCUCCUGAUUGGGAUCUCCUACUCAAUCAACUCGACUAUACCCUUGUGAGUAUAUAUUAGUGAAACUUUGGUCGUACAUUGUCCACUAAAAACUACUCCAUCCGUUUACUUUUACUUGGUAUGUAUAUUAAAAAUAAAUUUUUAUUUUUACUUGUCACUUUACGCAUAUCAAGAGAGAAAAAAUUAUUUUUCCUGUUAUCCCCACAGUAUUUAUUACUCAUUUCAAAUCAUUUUCUCAAAUCUAAAUAAAAUAUGCAUCAAUUAAUAUGGGUAUCUGUCAAGACCCAAAAUCUAACCAUGGUCGUGAUAGCGCCUAUCGUGUUACAAGGCAAGCUUAUUCCCAAAAUAUUACUACUAAUUUGAUUAUAAGAAUUUAAUAAAAUAUUUCAACAUUUAAAUUUUUCAUAAACUAAAUCAACUCUAAAUAUAAUAUAUAAAAAAAUACGGAAACGAGUUUCAAACAUCGGGGUGUCACUAAGUCAUGAGCGUCUAACACUAUAAACUAAGAUAUAUAAACUGUCUAAAUGUCCAAAAGAAGAAAUGACAAGAGGAGUAACAAGGUCUUGUGGACGCUGGCAGCUACCUUGCAAUCUCCACAGAUAGCUGGCCUGAAAUCAACGAUCGUCGCACCCUAACUCACCUGGAUCUGCACAUAAAGUGCAGGGUGUAGUAUGAGUACAAUCACCUCAGUAGUAACAGAAAUAACUAAGGAACUGAGAAGUAGUGACGAGCUAAGUAAAACAGUCCAAUUAUUUAUUUUCACAAUUUUAAAAAAAAUAAACAUGAAUAAACAGGUAAAUUCCAUAACUCAUUAAAUACCACAAAGAAAUUUAACAGAUAAAUGCAGCAAUAGCAAAAGUAAAUGCAACUUCACAGUAAUGUCACUCCAUCACUCAGCCCUCGCACUCAACACUCAAAACUCAACACUCUGCGUUCACUAGGGGUGUGUACAGACUCCGAAGGGGCUCCCAAAGCCCAAGCACUAAGCACGGACAACUCACGUACCAUCAUAUCAAUACCUGGAUCCGCACGGUCAACUCACGUGCUACGCGGACAACUCAUGCGCUAUGGUAUCAAUACCGGGACCCGCACGGUCAACUCACGUGCUACGCGGGCAACUCAUGCGCUAUGGUAUUAAUAUCCUCACAACCAGGCCCACGGCCUUACUCAAUCAUGUACCUUCAUCAACAAAUAAGGGAAUACAGCCAAUAUCAAGUAUCACAGCAUAUUAGCAAAUAAUAGAGGCUUAGGUUAACAUGUACAACAAUUUCUAUGACUGAGUACAAAUAAUUUAAGCAUGAAUAAAGCCUAAAAAUGAUCUCUAACAUGAAGGCAAACAAGUUCAAAAACAAGUAAACACAUAACCACAGAUAAUCGCCAUUAGGCGUCACAGCCUCAUGAGACGGACCAAGUCUCAGUCCCUCGCAGUGCACACCCAUACGCACGUCACCUAGCAUGGUGUCACACCCCUUUUUUUACAAAACUCGCUAACCUCUCUAAAAUAAAUAAAAAUAUUUAGUAAAUCUCGAAAAAGGGUUUUUAAUUAAAAAAUGACAAAAUUGUGUUCAAAAGAAAAUAAUUCAGAGUCGCCACCUGACAUUGGUUUCGAUGUAUCAGGUCACCAUUUUUUUUAAAAAUGAUUUUUCCUUUAAAACACUUUGGACUCCAAAACUAAGUCUGCAUCAGAGAUUUGGGUAAGGGGGUUCAUUUGACUCGGGGAGAAGGUGUUCGGCACUCCCCAAGUCCCGUGAAAGUCACGGUUGCGUACUCGGUCUAGUUGGCUUUUAAAAUAUUCAAGUUGAGGUAAAAUCACAGAAAAGCAAAAUAAAUACACACGAGGCUCGAGGUCGUCCCCACCUAAUAAAAAGAAAAUGAAAAUGAAAAUAAAAAUAAUAAUAAAAAUACUACGAAUUCUAUUAUCGAUCUUCAAGUACAAAUACUUCCGGGCAUACCCCGGAAUAAAAUAUAUACAAAUUUUUCGGGGCAUUCCCCGAAUAAAUUUAACUAAAGGAACGACCUCUCGCCUCAAAACUAACAAAAAUCCUAAAGUUUGCCUACCCAGGUGCUAGCGGACCUAAACAUGCUCUUAGCGAUUAAAUUCAUAAAUGGAUAAAGUAAAAGAAGCAAGAUUAUUUAAGCUCAUUUUCUUUCACAUUUUAAAAGCCAACCCCCUAUAACCCAUUUGCUCUAACAAUUCAUAUUACUAGAAUCUAUCCUACUUCAAUUCUUGAUUACUUUUCUGCAUAAGUAUUCUUACCCAACAGAUACAAUUAGGAAUAAAGCCAACAUACAAACCAUAACUAAACAUUUAUCAAAUGAAUUUCAAGUAAUAAGUAAACUAGGCACAAAUAAACAUAGUAGAAAAAUUAAUUAAAGUAAGUACUGAAAUAAUGUCAAAUUAGGAGGAGAAAGAGAAAUGGACCUCAAUUAAGGUAGGAGCUUCUCCAAUUUUAAUUAAAACUCCCAGCAAGAUGUACAACAAAUAAUCCGUCUCAAUUGAAUUGUGACCAAACCGCAACCGAAACUCGGAUCCGCAACCUCGAACGACAAACUCACUAGGAACUCGACUGCAAGUUUUUGCGGGAACUCGGAUCUCUAAACCAAACCCCAUUUCACUGCUUAGUGUCGAAUUGAUUUGAGGUCUAAGAGUUUUGAUUACUGAGGCAAAGCGUCGAGCAUGCGAACUGCAAAUUAUGAAAACCCUCAAAGCUGAGCACUGUGGAGGGUGGUGGCGGAGUUGGUGGCUCUCGUCGGUCAACAAGGAAAUGAAAAGAGAAUUGAAGUUUGAAAAGGAAGAUGACGUGUUUCAAGAUUUUUAAAAUAUCCAGUGGUCUGCUAGAAAUAGAAAGAAGAAAAGGUGGAGUCAGUGGUCAGCGAAUUUCCUAAUUUUGUCACUGUUUCGUCCCCCUCGUUUUCUCUAAGUUAUUUUUUUCCGUUUCUUUAUGUCCGUCCCUUUUCUGUGUGCAUGUGUCCGGGUGUUCUUGUGUGAAUAUGGUUGCCUUCUUUUGUAAGGGAGAAAAAGAGGAUGUGAAGGCUGCUCCCUCUCAAGAAUGAGGGUGAGAGCAUUUUAUACUAGGGUUUUCAAAAUGUAGUCUCUUUAUUAUUCAAGACAAAAAGAAAAUAUAUAAAAUAUAUAGCAAAUAUAGAAAGCAAAAUAAAGUAUACAUUUUGAAUCUGUUCUUGUAAACAAAAUGAAGAAGAAUGUGCAGGAGUCCAAGGUGUGGGUGGGGUCCACAUUUUUAUUUUUGUUCCUUUGCAUUUUGCUUCAUCCGUUCCUUUCCUUCUAAUUUUGUUUCGUUGGUUUCUUCUUUUUGUUUUUCUUUUGUCUUUUUGAUUUUUUUCUGAUUUUCUUUAGCUAAAUCAAACGUGAGUACAUAAAAACACUACUCCUAAAUGAAAAAAGGACUAUUAAGAAAAACAAAAUAGCUAUAUUCUUAAGGUAGUAUAAAAUCUUUCAAUCUACUGUUAGAAAUUUAAUUUAAGACUUACACUACAUCAAAUAGACACAAAUUAAUAUAUANNNNNNNNNNNNNNNNNNNNNNNNNNNNNNNNNNNNNNNNNNNNNNNNNNNNNNNNNNNNNNNNNNNNNNNNNNNNNNNNNNNNNNNNNNNNNNNNNNNNNNNNNNNNNNNNNNNNNNNNNNNNNNNNNNNNNNNNNNNNNNNNNNNNNNNNNNNNNNNNNNNNNNNNNNNNNNNNNNNNNNNNNNNNNNNNNNNNNNNNNNNNNNNNNNNNNNNNNNNNNNNNNNNNNNNNNNNNNNNNNNNNNNNNNNNNNNNNNNNNNNNNNNNNNNNNNNNNNNNNNNNNNNNNNNNNNNNNNNNNNNNNNNNNNNNNNNNNNNNNNNNNNNNNNNNNNNNNNNNNNNNNNNNNNNNNNNNNNNNNNNNNNNNNNNNNNNNNNNNNNNNNNNNNNNNNNNNNNNNNNNNNNNNNNNNNNNNNNNNNNNNNNNNNNNNNNNNNNNNNNNNNNNNNNNNNNNNNNNNNNNNNNNNNNNNNNNNNNNNNNNNNNNNNNNNNNNNNNNNNNNNNNNNNNNNNNNNNNNNNNNNNNNNNNNNNNNNNNNNNNNNNNNNNNNNNNNNNNNNNNNNNNNNNNNNNNNNNNNNNNNNNNNNNNNNNNNNNNNNNNNNNNNNNNNNNNNNNNNNNNNNNNNNNNNNNNNNNNNNNNNNNNNNNNNNNNNNNNNNNNNNNNNNNNNNNNNNNNNNNNNNNNNNNNNNNNNNNNNNNNNNNNNNNNNNNNNNNNNNNNNNNNNNNNNNNNNNNNNNNNNNNNNNNNNNNNNNNNNNNNNNNNNNNNNNNNNNNNNNNNNNNNNNNNNNNNNNNNNNNNNNNNNNNNNNNNNNNNNNNNNNNNNNNNNNNNNNNNNNNNNNNNNNNNNNNNNNNNNNNNNNNNNNNNNNNNNNNGAAGGUGCUAGUUCAUUCUUCUUCAGCUUUUCGUAUCAAAACCGGACACAUCAUGCUUGUGACUUUAGUCAUGUCUUGAGCAAUCCAUCUCUUAUCUCGGCUUCUGCAUUUUGGAUUCACUUCCCUUUUCUUUUUCUUUCUUUUUUUCAUUUUUUUUUUGUUGCUCUUUUUUUUAAUUCUGGAUUGAGAUUACUUCUGUUGAUCAUCUCGGACUGCUAACUCGCAUUCUUGCCGCGAGCUUCUGCUACUUCUAAUUUAAAUUGGAUUCUGAAAUGACAUCCCUUGUUCUCCAGGGGCGCCUGCUACUGACUUGAAAUUUGAAGUAACUCUGAAAAGAACUCGAAAUGGAUUCCCUCGUUCUCCAGGUGGGCGCCUGCAACUUGCUUGAAACUUGAAAUGAAUUCCCUCAUUCUCCAGGUGGGCGCCUGCGAUCAAAACAACAAAACAAACAAAAUUUUCUGCCCCAGUUUGCACUAGGAAGAUCUGUGAGUUGUUAGCAAAACCAUAAACCACUUAUGCUAUUGAUGCAAUGAUAAGAGUAAGCUAAAGACUUGACUGAUAUGUGUGUCUCCUGUGAGUAAAAUCAAGAACAUAUGACUAGCAAAUUCAUCAGACUAGGUCUUUUUGUUAUCUUAGGAGAACGAUUCAUCAGACUAAGAUUAUGAUCCUAGGAGAAAAUUCAAGAGACUAGGUUUUCUAUCUUAGGAGAAAAAUUCAUCAUACUAAGAUUCUAUCCUAGGAGAAAAUUCAUCGGACUAGGUCUCUUAUCGUAGGAGAAAGAUUCAUCAGACUAAAAUUUUGAUCCUGGGAGAAAAUUCAUCAGACUAUGUAUUUUUUUGUCAUCUUAGGAGAAAGAUUCAUCAGACUAAAAUUUUGAUCCUAGGAGAAAAUUCAUCAGACUAGGUCUUUUUGUUAUCUUAGGAGAAAAAUUCAUCAGACUAAGAUUUUAUCCUAGGAGAAAAUUCAUCAGACUAGGUCUUUUUGUUAUCUUAGGAGAAAGAUUCAUCAGACUAAGAUUUUGAUCCUAAGAGAAAAUUCAUCAGACCAGAAUUAUGAUCUUAGGAGAAAAUUCAUCAAAUUAGGUCUCUUAUCUUAGGAGAAAAAUUCAUCAGACUAAGAUUUUGAUCCUAGGAGAAAAUUCAUCAGACUAGGUCCCUUUCUGUUAUCUUAGGAGAAAGAUUCAUCAGACUAAGAUUUUGUUUGGGAGGAAAAUCCAUCAGACUAGGACUUUUUAUCCUAGGAGGAAAGAUGUGAAGAGCAAUGACAACAUUCUAUGUAUGCACACUAGCAAGACAGGUAAGGGAAAAGAUUUGAGAAACUCCCCUUUGUCGAUUCUUCUCUUCUUUUUUUCUUUUUCUUUCUUUUCUUUUCUUUUUUUUUUCUUGUUUGAACCAACUUGCUUGCACUGCUUUGUUCCUGUUUCAAACAAAGAAAUUUGUGAGUUUAAAAUGUGGUGGUUAGUUUGUGGCCUUGACCUUGAAGGUGGUUGCUUCUGCACUUGCCAAGAUAACUUUGAUUUCAACUUGGAAGACCUUGCCUGUUAUCGACUACUCAUUUUCUAUCAACCAUUAUCACAGAAAACACCUAUGCUCCAUUCGACCCCAAUAUCCUUUAUCUGUUGUAUUUUGCUCAUGAGUUGACAUUUACUGAACCUUUGCAUUUCACAUGAAUCCCAAAGCAUGUUGAUUGUGACCAACUCAGUGCGUAUACUAUUCUUUCUUGACUUAUGCCAUUUUGAUGUGCUAGCCAGAAUCCGCUUUGUGCAAUUGGAAAGUUGGUAGAAAAUUUUGAAGUCAUUUCUCACAUGUUCUGACCAAACAGACUCAAGAAGGGACUCAAACAAAACAAGAGGAACAAAAUAAAGGACAGGGGAAAAAGAUGAUACCUAACAAGAAAAUUACAAAGUAGAAACCUAUCAGAUGUGGAUACCAACUCUAAUGACCAUGACAUGCACCUUUGGAUUAAGUGGCCUAGUCUCUCAAGAAAGUCUAAUAUUCAACUCUUGUUGUACCUCUUCGCUAUGAAACUGGGCUUCAGCGCUUCAAUUGUCCUAUUUGAUCCACAAUCCUCAGUCGACUUGUAGUGCCCUGAGGGUUUUCACCAUCAAGCCUCUCUCAUUUUGCUCUUUUUCUCAACUCACCGUCGCCUUACGGUGCCCAUGAGGGUUUUUACCUAUAAGACUCUCUCAUUUAUCAUUUUUUCUCUUUUCUAUGAGAAUAGAGUAUUACCCAUGAUGUAGGAAGAUCAUACUUUUGCCACACACUUGAUUUGACAUCCUCAAAGAUUGGUCGGAAGGUCUUUCUUUGGAACGUAAUGUAGGCUUUUGGACAGGGUUAGAAAUAAAGGAUAUCAUAAAGGCUCAAAAUAACUAAGAUGAAAGAGUUAAAAAUUACAACUUUUGGAAUCAAAUCAUUUGGCAAAAUUAAAACUCCUGCCCCAGUUUCUUGGAGUUUGGGGGAUUUUUUUGGAUUUUUGCUUUGAUGGGAUUUCUAAGAAAACUGCCCCACUCUUGACUUCGAGGAUCAUGAAAUAUUUUAUUUUAUGUGACGGAACCGUAAGGCUGCCUACGUAUCUUGUGGUGACAAGAAUCAGGUCGAACGUAGUUCAAACACAAAGUUGGACUAUUUUGUUGUUUUCGUUUCCUUUUCUUUCUUUCAUUCUUCUUUUUUCUUUCUUUUUUUUAUUCUCUUUUUUUUCUUUUUACUUUUUUUUUCUUUCCUUUUCUCCUUUUUCUCUUUUUCUUUUCUUUUCUAGUUCUCAACUCUACAUCUGAUUCCAAAAGAGAGAUAUGAAACAAAACUUUGGGCUCAAAAUGGGUAGCAAAGGAUAAAAGUAUUUGGGUAGCAGAAUAAAAUGCCUUCGUCAUACCAAACUUAAAAAUGCCAAGUACAAACAUGCAAUUGAAGAUAAGCAAACAAAUCAUACGUAGUACCUAUUGACGACAUCAACACAAACAAAAAGUGUCAUAGGCAAUACCUUUCUCCCAAUGAAUGAUCCUUGCCAGUUCGAAGCAGACUUGAUUCAAACUUAUCUUGAUGUGGAAGAAUGCAUUUCAGCACUGACUGAUUUACCUCAAACUGCUCAAGAGACAUUCCCUUAUUGUAUACUCUCAUCAACCUAUUGAUUUUUCAGACUAACUACCUCAGUUUCACUCAAUUUAAGCUUUAGGUUAUCUCAGAAUGCGUGAAUCUUUACUUGUUCCCUCAAAUGCACAUUCAAAAUUGUGACAUUGCUUCCUGAUUAGACUAACUUUCAAGACCAGAUUGAGAAUUAUAUGUGCGUGUCAUGUCACUAGAGUCAGCAUGAAAAGAAUUAUAAAAGAGAAUGUGACCUAAACAAAAACUGACUAGAACUAACAGAAAACAGGAGAUUGCAUUAGACAGAUGGUGAACAUAGUUUAAACAAAACAAGCAAAAUAGAUAUGGGUUACAACCCUGGAACAAUCCUAGAUAACACUAGACGAGUUGCUACAACUAAACGAACUAGUCAAAAUAAGAAGAAGAAGGGUUUGGGUCACAAGACAAUAUCCGGAUUACAACCCUAAAAUAACCCGGAUAACAGAAAUGACAACAAAAUAAACCACCAAAACUCUUUCCUGGCUAGCCAAGAAAGGAGUGUCUUUCUGAUUACUAGGUUCGACAUCUUAGCCAUUGGGUUGCACAUCAAAAUUAUUGGGACCUUCACCAAUUUCAAUAUCAUUAACUUCAGUCAGCAAGUUUCCAAGAGGAUUCUCAUACUCCCUGCCACCAUGCAUCUUCCCCACAAAGUGUGAAUCAUCAUGUACAUGUAAAGGAUUUUGUGCAAUGUUCUGGGUGUCACUAUCCUGGACCACAAUUAUCCUUUCUUGAAUCAUUCUUUCUAUCUCCCUUUUCAAAUCCCGACAACUUUCGACAUUGUGCCCCCGGGCAUUGGAAUGGUAUUCACACCUUUUAGAAAGAUCAAAGCUUCUUGCACGCGGGUCCAUAUGAUUCGGAGGAAUAGGUGCAAUCAGGUCAUGAUGCUUUAAUUUCUCAAACAAACUUGCAUAGGACUCUCCUAUCGGUGUAAAAUUAUCUUUCAACCUUUGUUUACCUCUAUACCCCUGGUUUGGAUGUGGGUUAUAGGGCACCUGAAAAUUUUGUAGAGGCUGCUGGAGAUCUUGCGGUGCUGGUGCUCGCCUUCUGGGGUGUCUUGGUGGAUGGACAAGAUACUGGAGUGGAGCAACAGAGUAUUGUGGGUUCUCAAGGGAAUUGUCAAAAAACAAAUGAGGCUGGUCAUGCCUUCGAGAUGUUCUUCUAUGACAUCUUCUCGACCUUGAUGUCAUCAUGAUUUCUUCAACCUUCUAACUUGUGCCACUAAAAUUACCAGAUUCAAUUUGGACAGCCUGAGUUGCAGCUUUGAGAGUUGCUUGACUUAUAAUUUUGCCUGUCUUAAGGCCAUUCUCUACCAUUUCUCCCAUUUUAAUGGCUUCUGAGAAUAAUUUGCCAACUGCAGACAUCAUGUUUUGAAAGUAAUCGGGCUCUUGAGCCUGAAGGAAGACAGUGAUUAGCUCGUGGUCAUCCAUGGGUGGCUUAACUCUAGCUGAUUGUUCUCUCUAUUUAAUGGCAUAUUCCCUGAAACUUUCAGUUGGUUUCUUCUUCAGAUUUGAAAGGGAAUUACGGUCCGGGGCGAUGUCAAUGUUAUAUUGGAAUUGUUUGACAAAGGCCUGCGCCAUGUCAUCCCAGACAUACCAGCAAGAUGUGUCUUGACCCAUAAAAACCAUUCAGAGGCUAUACUCGUAAGGCUUUCCCCAAAAUAAACUAUCAGUAAUUCUUCAUUUCCUCCCACACCUCGUAGUCAAUUGCAAUACCUUUUCAGGUGGGCUAUGGGUUCUCCAUGUCCAUCAUACUUCUUGAAUUUGGGGAUCUUGAAACCAUGUGACAAGUGGACAUUGGGGAAUAUACAUAGAUCCUUGAAGGCAAUACUCUUCUGACCUGUCAACCCUUGCAUGUUUUUCAAUCGUUGUUCUAAGCUUUUCACUCUUUGGGUCAUUUCUUCCCGUACCAUCUUUCGGGCAGACUUCUCAAUGUUUGCAGGAAGAUCAAACAAGUACGAGUGGUACUCAGGAGAGUGAUACUGCUCUUGCUGUGUAGCAAAUUAUGACUCAUGAGUUUUUCUCUGCACCACCGUCGGCUACGGGAUGAUAAAGACAGGCAUAACUGUAGUGGUUCUCUGAUUGGUUGUAAAUGGCACACUUUGGGAGUACGCAACAAAAGUUCCAGCUAUAGUUACGCGAUUGGGAUAAAGACUGAACCUAAAUUGAUAGAAUUGAUCGGACAAUAAAACUGGAGUGGUAGUAGCCAAUAUGGGUGUAAACUCUGGGAAAAUAUAAGAAAGGGGUGGUCCUUGACCAUUGGCCCAUGCUUGACAUAUUUCAGACAUUUGUUGUUUCAGCCUUUGGACCUCCUCUGUCAAUUCAAAUUCCGACUCCAUAAUCUCCCUCGAGGGGUCGACAACCCCUGUAUCCAAGUCUUUGCCAGCCAUGAAUUCCUUGCCUUUUGACCUUGUGUUGUAUGGACAAAUCACCAAAGUGUCACAAACUAACCACCAUCUGCUAUAAUGAAAGUAACAAAGAGGAGCAAAACAAAGUCAACAGGUUAGCGUUAGAGCAUUUAUCAGAUAAAAAUAUCACAUUUUUUGCAAUGCCCCCUAGUCACAGUUAACGAUUCUAGAAUAUCUUCGAGGGUGCGAAGGUCAUAUGGCAUCAUCCCAAUUUCACUCUUCUUUCCCCAUUUCCUCCUUCAUCUUCCUUUCCAACACCGCUUGGUUUUUCAUUUCUUUCCCCCCUCUUUUCUUUUUGAUUAUCGCUCUUUUCUUUCCUCUCAUUUCUUGCGUCCCGCAACUUUAUUUUUUUUUUUGUUUUUGUUUUUUUAAAUGAUGAUUCGAUCGAACCCUAUGUAUGUUGCCUACGUAUCAUGUCCCUCAUGAAUCUGAUCAAGCGUAGUUCUGAAAAAAUGAUGGAUAAAAUAAACUAAAAAACAAAAAUCUUUUUGGAUUUUUCAUUUAAUUUUUUUUUUGGUUUUUCAAAUACAAAAUGGGAAGUAAUAUCACAAAAGAAUCGAUAUUACUGUACAAGACCAGAAAGUAAAAGACAACAUGAAUGACAGACUCAAAACAUAAAAGUAUCUAUAAGCAGCUCCUAAAUGCAGUGGUCCUGGGUAUUUGUCAUGCUUGAGAUCUGGUACAUUGAUCCACACCUGAAUGAGAAAAAUAAGACCAAAUAGAUCGGUGACUCAAGGCACUAUGCGACGCCACAACACCUCCUACUGGACACAUGCAAGACAUAAUCGGGCUACUUUUGCAAAAUUAACCUAUGUGGCAAAGGAUGACUAGAAGUGUAUAUUCAACAAGAUUGACCUCAAAGAUAUGGAAAUACCUCGCUAAAGCUUAUAUGGAUUCAACUCCUAAUAAUCAUGGCCCAAAAUAAUUUGCAGAAAUGAUCCAUUUUGCAAAACGGCCGAUAUGGCCAGAAAUGGCUAAAGAUGCAAACUCAAUAAGGACGGACGUUAAAGUAAUAUGACACCUAGUUGUGGACUUAAGAUCCUAAGACAUGAGUUAUUGAACCACUUUUGCGAAAAUGACCCCAUUUUACAAGAAUGACCGAUGUGACCAAAAGUGGCUAGAUAUGCAAGAUUUGGCUAAGACCCCGCAAAGCCAAGAAUCUAAAACUUACUAAGAAGACCGGACCCUAUGUGGGCUGCCGACGUAUUCCGCCCCGAAAGACGAGAAUCAGGUAUGCGUAGUUCGGGAAGAUUGGAUAUGGGAGAAAGCUUAAAAAUGACACUAAUUUGGAAAAAAUAUAUUUUUUGUCUUUUUCUUUUAAAAAAAAUGAUGAAAAAUAUAAAAUCUUUUUUGAUUUUCUUUUUCUCAUUUUUUUUGAAUUUUUGAAAAAUGAUGGAAAAUGUAAAAAAAAAUUGGAUUUUCUUUUUCAAUUUUUUUUUUGUUUUUUUUCUCGAAAAAGUUGUGAAAGAAAACUAUAACUAGGCCCUACUUGCUUCAUUUUUCACCCUUCUUUCCCAAACAUUGAUCCGCCAAAUGACUUUUUUACCCUCAAAGAUGCAACAUGUAUCACAUAGGGAUGAUUAAAUGUCUUUUUGGGCCACGGGCCCAUUUUGACAAAAUUUGGAUAAGCUUCCUACAAAGGGAUACGGUACCUGGGACCGAGCCCUACUAGGUCUAAAUGACAUGAUGCAAAUAAAAAUGAUCUAAAGGCUAACCUAAGUUUGUGGUUCACUAACAAGGCAAUUCGGGGGAGCGUAUGGUCGAUGGUGGCUGCUCAAGCUUUCCAUCCACUCCAUAAGUCCGACGGCCCCCCUCCUAAAUUAAGGGUUACUCAACAAAGAAUUCGUGCACGCGACGCGUACUCCGAGACUUGUUGCAAAAAGAAGACCCAUGGUUAUGCAAAUAAUGACAGUUUAUAAAGCAGUAACACAUUAAGAAAAGCGAUAAACAAAUAACCAACAAAACAAGGAAAUAAGACAAACAAAGCAAAUAAAGAAAACAAACACCUCAACCAAAUAUCCUAAAAGCCAACAAGAUCAAGUGUCAGCUCGAACCUGCAAGUCCCCAGCGGAGUCGCCAGAGAUGUCACACCAUUUUUUUUUACAAAACUCGCUAACCUCUCUAAAAUAAAUAAAAAUAUUUAGUAAAGCUCGAAAAAGGGGUUUUAAUUAAAAAGUGACAAAAUUUGUGUUCAAAAGGAAAUAACUCAGAGUCACCACCUGACAUUGGUUUCGGUGUGCCAGGUCACCAUUUUUUUUAAAAAUAAUUUUUCCUUUAAAACACUUUGGACUCCAAAACUAAGUCCGCACCAGAGAUUUGGGUAAGGGGUUCAUUUGACUCAGGGAGAAGGUGUUAAGCACUCCCCAAGUCCCGUGAAAGUCACGGUUGCGUACUCGGUCUAGUUGGCUUUUAAAAUAUUCAAGUUGAGGUAAAAUCACGGGAAAGCAAAAUAAACACACACGAGGCUCGAGGUCGUCCCCACCUAAUAAAAAGAAAAUAAAAAUGAAAAUGAAAAUGAAAAUAAAAAUAAAAAUAAAAAUACUACGAAUUCUAUUAUCGAUCUCCAAGUACAAAUACUUCGGGGCAUACCCCGGAAUAAAAUAUAUACAAAUCCUUCGGGGCAUUCCCCGGAUAAAUUUAACUAAAGGAACGACCUCUCGCCUCAAAACUAACAAAAAUCCUAAAGUUUGCCUACCCAGGUGCUACCGGACCUAAACAUGCUCUUAGCGAUUAAAUUCAUAAAUGGAUAAAGUAAAAGAAGCAAGAUUAUUUAAGCUCAAUUUCUUUCACAUUUUAAAAGCCAACCCCCUAUAACCCAUUUGCUCUAACAAUUCAUAUUACUAGAAUUUAUCCUACUUCAAUUCUUGAUUACUUUUCUGCCUAAAUAUUCUCUUAUCCAACAGAUACAAUUAGGAAUAAAGCCAACAGACAAACCAUAACUAAAUAUUUAUCAAAUGAAUUUCAAGUAAUAAGUAAACUAGGCACAAAUAAACAUAGUAGAGAAAUUAAUUAAAGUAAGUACUGAAAUAAUGUCAAAUUAGGAGGAGAAAGAGAAAUGGACCUCACUUAAGGUAGGAGCUUCUCCAAUUUUAAUUAAAAUUCCCAGCAAGAUGUACAACAAAUAAUCUGUCUCAAUUGAAUUGUGAUCGAACCACAACCGAAACUCGGAUCCACAACCUCGAACGACGAACUCACUAGGAACUCAACUGCAAGCUUUUGCCGAAACUCGGAUCUCUCAACCAAACCACAUUUCACUGCUUAGUGUCGAAUUAAUUUGAGGUCUAAGAGUUCUGAUUACUGAGGCAAAGCGUCGAGCAUGCGAACUGCAAACUUAUGAAAACCCUCAAAGCUGAGCACGGUGGAGGGUGGUGGCGGAGUUGGCGGCUGUCGUCGGUCAACAAGGAAAUGAAAAGAGAAUUGAAGUUUGAAAAGGAAGAUGACGUGUUUCAAUGUUUUUAAAAUAUCUAGUGGUCUGCUAGAAAUAAAAAGAAGAAAAAGUGGAGUCAGUUGUCAGCGAAUUCCUUAAUUUUGUCACUGUUUCAUCCCCCUCGUUUUCUCUAAGUUUUUUUUUCCAUUUCUUUGUGUCCGUCCCUUUUCUGUGUGCAUGUGUCCGGGUGUUCUUGUGUGAAGAUGGCUGCCUUCUUUUGUAAGGGAGAAAAAGAGGAUGUGAAGGUGCUCCCUCUCAAGAAUGAGGUUGAGAGCAUUUUAUACUAGGGUUUUCAAAAUGUAGUCUCUUUAUUAUUCAAGACAAAAAGAAAAUAUAUAAAAUAUAUAGCAAAUAUAGAAAGCAAAAUAAAGUAUGCAUUUUGAAUCUGUUCUUGGAAACAGAACGGAGAAGAACGUUUAAGUGUGCAAGGUGUGGGUGGGGUCCACAUUUUUAAUUUUAUUCCCUUUUCAUUUUGCUUCAUCCGUUCCUUUCCUUCUAAUUUUGUUUCGUUGGUUUCUUCUUUUUGUUUUUCUUUUGUCUUUUAGAUUUUUUUUUCUGAUUUUCCUUUAGCUAAAUCAAACGUGAGCACAUAAUAAUACUACUCCUAAAUGAAAAAAGGACUAUGAAGGAAAAUAAAAUAACUAUAUUCUUAAGGUAGUAUAAAAUCUUUCAAUCUACUGUUAGAAAUUUAAUUUAAGACCUACACUACAUCAAAUAGACACAAAUAAAUAUAUAUAUGUAUUGAACUUUUCUUUUUCAUAUUUUUGCAAACCAAAAAUAUGACUCUCUUUUUUUUAUUUUAUGAAAAGUAAGAAAAACUAAAAGUUACUAGUAAAAAUAAUAAUUAGCUAGCAUAAAGGAAAAUAUUUUUGUAAUUUUUAUUUUAAAGAUAAACUAAAGCAAAAAAGUAAAAUAUAAUCAAAAUAGCAAUUAUGGACUUAAAAUAAAUAUCUAAAUACUAAAAUGAGUAAAAUUUCGGGAAGGGUAAAAAAUUACAUGUCUACACAUGGGUAUCACCACCAAACAAUCACAUGAUAUCAAAUUCUCCGGGUUUACCCUCAAAGCCAGAGUAAAAACUGUUACUUACCUCAACAGCGUAAAAUCCUACUCUUGGAUGCCCUCGUCUCUGGAGUCCGUCUCCAAAAGCUUCGAAUCUAACCAUAAUCAGAUUAAUACCAUCAUUAUGUGCUAAAGAAUCGAAUUCCACAAUAAAAACUACAAAAUAUGCCAAAAAUCCGAAAUCGACCAAAAUCUAGCCCCCGGGCACACGUCUCAGAAUCAGUCAAAAAUGACAGAAUAAUAAACCCCAUUCUCUCCCGAGUCUAACCAUAUAAAAUUUAUCAAAAUCGAACUCCGUUUGGUCCCUCAAAUUCUCAUUUAAAACUCUACAAAACUCAAACCCUAACUCCCUCAAUUUCACGUUAAAAUCAUCAAUCAAAUCCCAAAAACGGUGAUGGAUUCAUGAAAUAUAACCAAAAUCGAGUAGAGAACACUAACCCUAAUCCAUAUGGUGAAAAUCGCUUCCAAAAUCGCCCAAAUCCGAGCUCCCGACUCAAAAUAUGAUCGAAUGAACAAACCCUUAUUUUAUAUAUUUUUCUGCCAGCUAUUCUGCCUCCUUUCUCGUGGCAAACGAUUCUAAAACUCGCUUUUUAUGCCUCUAAUGGAUUCCUUGUGAGAUUCUAGUCAAGUUAGGCUUUUGAAUCACUCAAUUUGACCUUAUAAUGAAUGAGAUAUAUUGGUUUCAAUAUUUGCAAAUAGUGCUGAUUUUUAAAUACGCCGUCAGUGGCAAUUUCGUAAUUAAUCUGAAAAAUAUGGCAACCUAAUUCUUAGUAAAAUGACCCUAAAAUCCUCAUACGAUCUCCAAAUUCGACGAUUCUUUUUGCUACGGGUCCGUAAUUGCGAUACGGAUCUAAUGCUUCAAUCAAAAAAAGAAAUUAGAGCUCAUUUGUUCAAUAUGAUAUCAUUUAUGCUUGAAGAAACGGCGUCGAAACAUAAGAAAAACGAGUGCAACACAACCCAAACCUAUCUGAAACUCACUCGAGGCCCUCGGGACCUCAACCAAAAAUUCAAACAAGUCAUAUAUCACUACCCAAACUUAGUCGAACCUCCGGAACACCCAAAAUAACAAAUCAACCUCGAAUUCAAGCCUAAGAACUUCUAAACUUUCAAGUUUCUCCAAUUCAAGCCUAAUUCUACGACGGAUCUCCAAAUUAUAUUUCGGACACACUCCUAAGUCUAAAAUCACCCAAUGAAGCUAAUCGAAUCAUAAAAAUCCAAAUUCGAAUUCGUUUACUCAUAAGUCAACUUUCGGUUGACUUUUCUAACUUAGCUUUCUAACUAAGAGACUAAGGGUUCAUUUCACUUCAAAACUACUCCGAACCAAACCUACCAACUCGAUACAACUCAACACAGCUGAACAAUACAUAAAUAAGCAUAGAUGGGGGAAAUGGGGCUAUAACUCUCAGAACAAACGACCGGGUCGUUACAUCCUCCCCCUCUUAAAUAAACGUUCGUCCUCGAACGAGUCUGAAAACAAAACAUACCUGGAGUCUCAAAUAGGUGAAACCUUCAGCAGUACCUUCUCGUCACAUUCAAAUUAGAUGAACUCAUCUCGCGGUCACAUCAUACUCAUCACGUAUCCAUCCAGCCACCGUUUCCACUAAUAGGGACACUACCGGACAUAUAAGUCAACAAGCACGCGCUCACACAAUCAACACCUAAGUGCUCAAGCUACAGUCAAAACCCGGCCUCAAGUCCUCUAGACUGGCCCAACAUCAACACACAGAAAUCACAUCCCGCAACUCAUCCAGGGAAUCACAAUCUGUCGAUGCAUAACUGAUACCGAGCGCUCAUGUGCGCAUACGAAUGCGUGGAAGGAAUUCAAAGAGUUACACUUCAAGCUGAAUCAAUACCACAUGAUAAGAAUUCAAGAAGGUGAAGUUUUCCUAAAGGUUCUGCAGCCUCUCAAAGAUAAGUACAGACGUCUCCGUACCGAUCCGCAAGACUCUACUAAACCCGCUCAUGACUCGUGAGACCUAUGUAACCUAGGUUCUGAUACCAUCUUGUCACGACUCAAAAUCUAACCAUGGUCGUGAUGGCGCCUAUCGUGUUACAAGGCAAGCUUAUUCCCAAAAUAUUACAACUAAUUUGAUUAUAAGAAUUUAAUAAAAUAUUUCAACAUUUAAAUUUUUCAUAAACUAAAUCAACUCUAAAUAUAAUAUAUAAAAAAAUACGGAAACGAAUCCCAAACAUCGGGGUGUCACUAAGUCAUGAGUGUCUAACACUAUAAACUAAGAUAUAUAAACUGUCUAACUGUCCAAAAGAAGAAAUGACAAGAGGAGUAACAAGAUCUUACGAACGCUGGCAGCUACCUUGCAAUCUCCACAGAUAGCCGGCCUAAAAUCAACGAUCGUCGCGCCCUAACUCACCUGGAUCUGCACAUAAAGUGCAGGGUGUAGUAUGAGUACNNNNNNNNNNNNNNNNNNNNNNNNNNNNNNNNNNNNNNNNNNNNNNNNNNNNNNNNNNNNNNNNNNNNNNNNNNNNNNNNNNNNNNNNNNNNNNNNNNNNNNNNNNNNNNNNNNNNNNNNNNNNNNNNNNNNNNNNNNNNNNNNNNNNNNNNNNNNNNNNNNNNNNNNNNNNNNNNNNNNNNNNNNNNNNNNNNNNNNNNNNNNNNNNNNNNNNNNNNNNNNNNNNNNNNNNNNNNNNNNNNNNNNNNNNNNNNNNNNNNNNNNNNNNNNNNNNNNNNNNNNNNNNNNNNNNNNNNNNNNNNNNNNNNNNNNNNNNNNNNNNNNNNNNNNNNNNNNNNNNNNNNNNNNNNNNNNNNNNNNNNNNNNNNNNNNNNNNNNNNNNNNNNNNNNNNNNNNNNNNNNNNNNNNNNNNNNNNNNNNNNNNNNNNNNNNNNNNNNNNNNNNNNNNNNNNNNNNNNNNNNNNNNNNNNNNNNNNNNNNNNNNNNNNNNNNNNNNNNNNNNNNNNNNNNNNNNNNNNNNNUCACCACCAAACAAUCACAUGAUAUCAAAUUCUUCGGGUUUAUACCCUCAAACUAGAGAAACUGUUACUUACCUCAACAGCGUAAAAUCCUACUCUAGGAUGCCCUCGUCUCUGGACUCUGUAUCCAAAAGCUCUGAAUCUAACCAUAAUCAGAUUAAUACCAUCACCAUGUGCUAAAGAAUCGAAUUCCACAAUAAAAACUACAAAAUAUGCCAAAAAUUCGAAAUCGGCCAAAAUCCAGCCCUCGGGCCCACAUCUCGGAAUCAGUCAAAAUGGCAAAAUAAUAAAACUCAUUCUCUCCCGAGUCUAACCAUAUAAAAUUUAUCAAAAUCGGACUCUGUUUGGUCCCUCAAAUCCUCACUUAAAACUCUCCAAAACUCAAAUUCUAACUCCCUCAAUUUCACAUUAAAAUCAUCAAUCUAAUCCUAAAAACGAUGAUGGAUUCAUGAAAUAUAACUAAAAUCGAGUAGAAAACACUUACCCCAAUCCACAUGGUGAAAAUCGCUUCCAAAAUCGCCCAAAUCCGAGCUCCCCAACUCAAAAUAUGAUCGAAUAAACAAACCCUUAUUUUAUAUAUUUUUCUGCCAGUUAUUCUGCCUCGUUUCUCAUGCCAAACAAUCCUGAAACCUGCAUUUUAUGCCUCCAGUGAAUUUCUUGUGAAAUUCUAGUCAAGUUAGGCUUUUGAAUCACUCAAUUUGACCUUAUAAUGAAUAAGAUAUGUUGGUUUCAAUAUUUGCAAAUAGUGCUGAUUUUUAAAUACCCCGUUAGUGGCAAUUUUGCAAUUAAUCUGAAAAAUCUGGCAACCUAAUUCUUAGUAAAAUGACCCUAAAAUCCCCAUACGAUGUCCAAAUUCUACGAUUCUUUUUGUUACGGGUCCGUAAUUGUGAUACGGAUUUAAUGCUUCAAUCAAAAAAAUCAGAGCUCAUUUGUUCAAUAUGAUAUCAUUUAUGCUUGAAGAAACAACGUCGAACCAUAAGAAAAACGAGUGCAACACAACCCAAACCUAUCUGAAACUCACUCGAGGCCCUCGAGACCUCAACCAAAAAUUCAAACAAGUCAUAUAUCACUACCCGAACUUAGUCGAACCUCCGGAACACCCAAAACACCAAAUCAACCUCGAAUUAAAGCCUAAGAACUUCUAAAUUUCCAAGUUACGCCAAUUCAAGCCUAAUUCUACCAUUGAUAUCCAUAUUAUAUUCCGGACAUACUCCUGAGUCUAAAAUCACUCAACGAAGCUAAUCGAAUCAUAAAAAUCCAAAUUCGAAUUCGUUUACUCAUAAGUCAACUUUCGGUUGACUUUUCUAACUUGACUUUCUAACUUAGAGACUAAGUGUUCAUUUCACUUCAAAACUACUCCGAUCAAACCUAAUAAUUCGAUACAACUCAACACAACUGAACAACACAUAAAUAAGCAUAGAUGGGGGAAAUGAGGCUAUAACUCUCAGAACGAAUGACCGGAUCGUUACAGUAUCAUGAUAAAUUAUGCACUUCAUUUAUUAUUUCUUAAGAGACGUAAAAAGUCAAAACGUGCCAAGUAAAAGUCAAACUGAUGGAGUAUGUAGUACUAGUACGUAGUAAUUACAGGUAAUGAGAAAUGAAUGUACAUUUUUAUUACUCUCUGAAAAAUAAUUACUACUCCAGCAGAAGUCUCAAGCUCACUGUACUACGUUAAUUUUUCACAUUUAAGAAAACUUAUUUUUUUUCUGCAAGCUGCAAAGUGGACUCUCAGUCACUGCCAGCAGAAUACUAGAGUGGUGAAAUAAUUGAAACUUUGAAUAUUGGAUAUAUAUAUUAUUACUCCCUCGAUCCUCUGACCCACCUUAGGAAGAAGUCGUGCUACAGAUUUUGACCAAACUUAAUAGAUUUAAAUAUUAUAUUUGUGCUAAAAAAAUUCAUUAAAUAUAUACAAAUAGUAAAUUUAAAAUAAGUCACUAACACAUGAAGUUAUUGUCCUAAAAUCUAGAAUUUAUAAGGCUAAAAUUAGGAGUGGCAAACGAACGAGUCGGGUCGGAUAUGGUUCGGGAUGAAAACGGGUAAUAAAAAACGGAUCAAUUAUCCGACCCGACCCAUAUUUAAUACGGAUAAAAAAUGGUUAACCGGCGGAUAAUAUGAGUUACCCAUAUUAUGCAUGACUUCUUGUAUAUGAUCACUUUUGGAAGAAUUCUUAGUCUCUCUAACUUGAGAAACCCCCAAUUUGAGCCUUUACAAAUGUAAAAAUUAGACUCAUUGGUUAUCCAUUGGUUACUCAUUGGUUAUCUAUUUUCUAAAUGGAUAAUAUGAUUCUUAUCCAUAUUUGACCCGUUUUUAAAAAGUUCAUUAUCCAACCCAUUUUUUAGUGGACAAUAUGGGUGGUUAACUGUUUUCUUUGAACCAUUUUGCCACUCCUAGCUAAAAUCAUAUCUCCGUCUCUGCCCCCCCUCCCCCUUCCUCACACGUACACUUUCUCUCUCUCCCUUUGUGUAUGUAACUUCCUUCUAUAUUUUAUGUCGUCCAAAUACAUAUACAGACCAUUAAACUUGGCCCAAUUUUUCAUUUUGGCAUUUUAACUUAGCCUUGUUCCAUUUUGGCCCUCCAAUCCCAUUUCUUUUGUUCCACUUUGACACAAAAAAAUUUCUCCGAGGUAAAAAUGCAGCGCAUGCAAAUACCCAGCUGCUACUCCCACCCCACUGCCCCCCCCCCACAAAAAUAAUUACUUUUUUUGUAAUUUUNNNNNNNNNNNNNNNNNNNNNNNNNNNNNNNNNNNNNNNNNNNNNNNNNNNNNNNNNNNNNNNNNNNNNNNNNNNNNNNNNNNNNNNNNNNNNNNNNNNNNNNNNNNNNNNNNNNNNNNNNNNNNNNNNNNNNNNNNNNNNNNNNNNNNNNNNNNNNNNNNNNNNNNNNNNNNNNNNNNNNNNNNNNNNNNNNNNNNNNNNNNNNNNNNNNNNNNNNNNNNNNNNNNNNNNNNNNNNNNNNNNNNNNNNNNNNNNNNNNNNNNNNNNNNNNNNNNNNNNNNNNNNNNNNNNNNNNNNNNNNNNNNNNNNNNNNNNNNNNNNNNNNNNNNNNNNNNNNNNNNNNNNNNNNNNNNNNNNNNNNNNNNNNNNNNNNNNNNNNNNNNNNNNNNNNNNNNNNNNNNNNNNNNNNNNNNNNNNNNNNNNNNNNNNNNNNNNNNNNNNNNNNNNNNNNNNNNNNNNNNNNNNNNNNNNNNNNNNNNNNNNNNNNNNNNNNNNNNNNNNNNNNNNNNNNNNNNNNNNNNNNNNNNNNNNNNNNNNNNNNNNNNNNNNNNNNNNNNNNNNNNNNNNNNNNNNNNNNNNNNNNNNNNNNNNNNNNNNNNNNNNNNNNNNNNNNNNNNNNNNNNNNNNNNNNNNNNNNNNNNNNNNNNNNNNNNNNNNNNNNNNNNNNNNNNNNNNNNNNNNNNNNNNNNNNNNNNNNNNNNNNNNNNNNNNNNNNNNNNNNNNNNNNNNNNNNNNNNNNNNNNNNNNNNNNNNNNNNNNNNNNNNNNNNNNNNNNNNNNNNNNNNNNNNNNNNNNNNNNNNNNNNNNNNNNNNNNNNNNNNNNNNNNNNNNNNNNNNNNNNNNNNNNNNNNNNNNNNNNNNNNNNNNNNNNNNNNNNNNNNNNNNNNNNNNNNNNNNNNNNNNNNNNNNNNNNNNNNNNNNNNNNNNNNNNNNNNNNNNNNNNNNNNNNNNNNNNNNNNNNNNNNNNNNNNCUGCUACUCCCACCCACCUGACCCCCCCCCACAAAAAUAAUUACUUUUUUUGUAAUUUUAAAUUAUUAUUUUUUUCGUUUUUUCUGCCCACAUCCCGGGGAAAAAUGUUUUUUAUAUAUAUUUUAAGUAAUAACUACGGGUUUAACUGAACCCAUAACUUUCGACGUUGAGUAAAAAUUUGUAUGUAAAAAUUUAUUAAAAUUAUAAAAAAAAUAGAUAUAAACCCAUAACAUUUAAGAAUAUAAUGAGUUCUUUUGUUCCACUUUGACACAAAAACUUUUACCCCAGGUAAAAAUGCAGCGCGAACAAAUAUCCAGUUGCUACCCCCACCCCAACCCCACUGCCCCCGCAAAAAAAUUAUUUUAUUUUGUAAUUUCAAAUUAUUAUUAUUUUCAUUUUUUCUGCCCCCCUCCCGUGAAAAAAAUAUUUUUUAUAUAUAUAUUUUCAGUAAUAACUACGGGUUCAACUGAACCUAUAACUUUCGACGCGGAGUAAAAAUUUGUAUGUAAAAAUUCAUUAAAAUCAUAAAAAAAAAUAGAUAUAAACCCAUAACUUUAAAAAUAUAAUGGGUUCAAUGUUAAAAACAUUAAAAUUGAAUCCAUAGGAUUUAAAUUUUGGAUCCGUCUCUACGUUGGGAGUAUGAAAUUUGGCUUAAAAAAUGGUUGUCACGCGCCUACAAGGGUGAGGCAAAUCACACAUGGAAUCUAGUCAGCUUUAGUAUCAAAGUGGAACAAAAUAAUUGGGGUUGGAGGGCCAAAAUGGAACAAGGCUGAGUUAAAGUACCAAAAUAAAAAAUUGGGUCAAGUUUAAUGGGUUGUCUAUGUAUUUAGCCUUUUAUGUCAUAAUUUGAUUGGGCACGAAAUUUAAUAAUAUAAUUAAAGAAAAAAUUAUGUAUCUUGCAACUUUAAAUUAAUUGUUGAUAAUAUAUCAAAAUACUCCUUAAAUCAUAUAAUUUAAAUAUCAUAUUAUCAUAGAUAAAAUGAGAAUAUUAAAAUUCUGAACUAACUAUAUUCAAAAGGAUUACAUAAUUCUUCUCUAAACAUAUUAAAAAACAAAGCAAAGCAAGACAUGGAAGCUCCUGUUUGGUCAUACAUUUUGGCUAUAUUUUUUAUUGAAAAUAAUGUAUGUUCAUCAAAUAUGAUCAGUUUUUGGAAAACAAAUUAAUUUUUCUUUUCCGAGUAAAUUUACAGUUUUUAGGUAAAAUAUUUUGGCCGUGAAUUUACAGUUUUGCGGUGAAAUUUUUUCUUCCACUUAUAAAACUUUAACAUUUUAUUAAAUAAAAUACAUGUCCAAAUAUAAUUUCAACUUUUGAAAUUAUUUUCAACACAAUUUUAAAAACUCUUUUUUCAAAUCUCAACCAAAUUUAUAUCCAAACGCUUGCUAAAUAAAUUGAAUUGAAAGGCAGACCAAAUGUUUACAAAAGUUGGUGUACAUAGACCUGGGACCUCCACAUCCAAUUGUGGUUGAAGCCAUGCAUGUGAUGACUGAUGAGUAUUAUUACCCCAAUUUCCUAAUUUUGACUGCACUUUGUAUCACCUUUUUCCUCUUUUCAAUAGCAGUUAUUGGUGUAAAAAGUAAGAGCAAGUCAGAAUAUACACUGAAAUGAAAGCAGGAGUUGAGCAAUCACUUUCACUCUCUGCAAUUUAUGAUAUAUGUGUGGUGGAUCAACCAAUUACUUGCAUUCCUUCAUCUUGUUUUGAAAAAAGAAUAUCCAACUUUUUUUCUUUUAAGUGUAAUUUUAAUUAAUUUUUACAUACACAUUUAUAUUUCCGUAGUGAAAGUACUGAGUCCAUAUGAACCCGUUAUCGAUCCUAUAUUCGCACCAAAUUGUAUAAAAGUUUAAGAAAUUAAAAAAGACUUACAACAACAACAACAAUAUACCCAGUAAAAUCUCACUAGUGAGGUCUGGGGAGGGUAGGAUGUAUGUAGACCUUACCCCUACCCUAGAAGGGUAGAGAGGCUGUUUUCGGGAGACCCUCGGCUCAACAGAAGAGACAAUAAUAUCAGAAAAGAAACGAAAGAAGAGAUCUGUAACAACAAAAAAAGCAAGAAAAGUAAUAAUAAUAUCUUAAGAUACACCAAACAAGUGAAAUGGAGUGCAAUAAUACAAUCCUAUGCAAAACAACAAAAUAGUGUGAACACAACAUAGACCGCUAAUAGACAUAGGCAAAACUCUAUCAGAAUACCCGGUACAAAGAAGGAAAAACUAUGAACUACCCCCUAGCAUACAACCCUAAUUUUCAACCUCCACACGUUCCUAUCAAGAGCCAUGUCCUCGGAAAUCUGAAGUCGCGCCAUGUCUUGCCUGAUCACCUCGCCAAAAUUCUUCUUAGGCCGCCCUCUACCUCUUCUGGUACCUGCUAAAGCCAAUGGCUCGCACCUCCUAACCGAGGAAUCUAUGGUUCUCCUCUGCACGUGCCCAAACCACCUAAGUCUCGCUUCCCGCAUCUUGUCGUCCAGGGAGCAACGCCCACCUUAUCCUAAAUACCUCAAUUCCUUAUCUUAUCAAGUUUAGUAUGUCCGCACAUCCAUCUCAACAUCUUCAUCUCGGCUACUUUCAUCUUCUAGAUAUGUGAAUUCUUAACUGGCCAACACUCAGCCCCAUAUAACAUAGUCGGCCGAACCACCGCUCUGCAGAACUUACCUUUGAGUUUCGGUGGCACCCUCUUGUCACACUGGACUCCAGAUGCUAACCAUUAUUUUAUCUACCCCACCCCAAUGCGGUGCCUGAAAUCCCCGUCAAUCUCCCCAUCUCCCUGGAUAAUAGACCCUAGGUACUUGAAACUUUCUCUCUUGGGGAUGACUUGUGAGUCGAGCCUCACUACCCCGUCCGCUUCCCCCGUCACGCCACUGAACUUACACUCUAGAUAUUCCGUCUUGGUCCUACUCAAUUUGAAACCUUUUGACUCGAGAGCCUGCCUCCACACCUCCAGUCUCUCAUUAACACCGCUACGCGACUCAUCGAUCAGAACUAUAUCAUCAGCGAACAACAUACACCGUGGCACCUCUUCUUGAAUAUGGUGUGUCAAGGCAUCCAUCGCCAGAGCAAAUAAGAAUGGGCUAAGCGCAGAUCCUUAGUGUAACUCCAUAAUCACCGAAAAAGCUCGGAGUCACCUCCCGCAGUCCUGACCCGAGUCUUAGCUCUAUCAUACAUAUCCUUUAUCGAUUUAAUAUAUGCUACCGAUACCCCUUUCACUUCCAGGCAUCUCCAAAGAACGUCCCCAGGGAUCUUGUCAUAUGCCUUUUCUAGGUCAACAAACACCAUGUGCAAAUUCCUCUUCCUAUCCCUGUGAUGUUCCCUGGAUUUUAGAAAUAGAUACCGCCCUCUUCACCUUCCCUUCUACCACCCUCUCACAAACUUUCAUGGUAUGACUUAACAACUUGAUGCCCUUAUAAUUGUUACAAUUCUGGAUAUCACCUUUGUUCUUAAAUAGCGGAAUCAUCAUACUACAUCUCCGCUCAUCUGGAAUCCUCUUCGUUCUGAAAAUAACAUUUAACAACCCAGUCAGCCAUUCUAAGCUUACUCUACCCACAAAUCUCCAAAAUUUUACUGGAAUCUCGUCGGUCCAAUCACUUUGCCCAGACUCAUCUUACCCACAGCUCCCACUACCUCCUCAACCUUGAUACGUCUACAGUACCCAAAGUCUCGGUGACUCUCGGAGUGUCCCAACUCCCCUAGCACGAUGCUACCACUCCCCUCUUCAUUCAGAAGUUUACGAAAGUACGCCUACCAUCUAUGCUUAAUCAGGGAGUGUUUCGUCAAUACUCUACCUUCCUCGUAUUUGAUGCACCUUACUUAAUCCAGGUCACGAGCCUUCUUCUCUUUUGCUUUGGCCAGCCGAAAUAGCUUUUUGUCCCCACAUUUGUCUCCCAGUUCCUCAUACAACCGAUCAAAAGCAGUAGUCUUAGCCUCUGUGGCCGCUAAUUUCGCCUCCUUCUUAGCUUCCUUAUACCUUACUCUGUUUGCUCUCCUUUGCUCCUCGUCGGUACUCUCCACUAACGUAAGGUACGCCAUUUUUUUGCUUCCACUUUACCUCAGACCACAUCAUUCCACCACCAGUCGCCUCGGUGCCCAUCAUAGUAGCCCUUUGAGACCCUUAAUACCUAUAUACAGUUUGCCAUCGCCGUCCACAUAGCGCUAGCAUCCCCACCACUCUUCCAGGCACCCAUAGCCAUCAACCGCCCCUCCAACUCAUGCGCAUUAUCCUUAGCCAAAGCACCCCAUCUGAUCUGCGGUUGACCCCGUACAAACCUCUUCUUCCUUUUUAUCACGAUACCGACAUCCAUCACCAGGAGCAUAUGUUGAGUCGCGAGGUUCUCACUCGGGAUCACCUUACAAUCCUCGCACAACCUCCUAUCACACCUCUUGAGGAUGAUAUAAUCAAUCUGGUCGUAGCCAUCAUACUCCGGAAAGUAACCAAAUGCUCCUCCCUCUUCGAAAAACUAGAGUUCGCGAUCACCAACUCAAAAGCCCUAGCGAAAUCCAAUAGAGAAGUACCACCUCUAUUCCUAUACCCAAAGCCGAAGCCACCGUGCACCUCGCCAUAACCCCCAGCCGACGACACAAUAUGACCAUUGAAAUCCCCUCCUAUAAAUAACUUCUCCGUUGACGAAAUACCCCACACCACCUCAUCCAACCCCUCUCAGAAGCGCAUUUUAACCUCCUCGUCCAAGUCCGCUUGCGGCGCGUACGUGCUAACGACAUUCAGAGUGCUCCCUCCAACUACUAACUUAAUCGCCAUCAAUCUGUCAUUCACCCGACAUUCAGAGUGAUAUAAAAAGUUCAUUUCUUUUUAUUUUUUCUCUCCUUAAUUAUAAAAGAAUGAAAUCUCUAUCAAUUGUGUCGUAACAAAUUAAUCAUAUCAUUAUGUAUAUAAUAAAAAUAUUAAAAUGUAAUUACUUUUAAACAGACUUUUUUCCUUAUUAGACAUAUCAAAAACUGUAAGUAAUAUAUUAAAUGUGACAGAGGAAAGGAAUACAUGAAGCCACUGCAUAGAAGGAAAUAUUAGUCGCAGUUAUUACUACUUGUACUUAACAGUAGCUCUGCAUGUGCUGCACUUCGAAGUUCGAUCUGUACUUUUGGCCUUCUGUAUUGUACUAUGUCAAAUUAAUACUAGUCCUACUUAACGCUUUCCAGCUCACCACUAUUAUUAUUAUUAUUAUUAUUAUUAUUAUUAUUAUUAUUAUUAUUAUUAUUAUUAUUAUUUAUCGACUCGAUCGAAUUUCAUUGUCAAAAAAUUAUUUCACUACAUUACUCAUUCCGUCCCCCCCCCCCCCCCAAAAAAAAAGAUAUAAUACUUUUUAAAUUUUGACUGUUAAAUUUCUUAAUUUUGAUUGUGAAUUCAAACAUAAAAUUUCUAAAAUAAAAUUAACAAAUAUAAAACUAAUUAAAAAAGUACUAUAAGUCAUAAUGAUUUAAUAAUUUAUACUAAUAUUUAAAAAGCAUAUAAAAGUUAAAACUCACGGUUAAAUGUGAAGUUACUAAUUUUUUUUUGGUGUGUGUGUGUAUGAGUUUACCUUACAUUACCUUAAAAUAUUCUCCCUUUUCCUUUUUAAAAAAGUUACUAGAAAUCUGCCAAAAACAAUGCCUUUAUUAAUUUCCAAUUUUCAGAAAAUGGCCGUUGGAUAGUUUUGGAGUUAGCGUACCCUAUUUUAGUGCUCCAUCGUUGUCCAGUUUGUCUUAUUGCUGAUGAUGAAGACAGUAAAAUUGAGAUCCACUUUUGUUGAAAAAACUGAAAAGCCGAGCACUUUUUUUUUGUAUUAAAUUCUGUGCUAUAAAUGUAUAGUUCAAUAUUUGAGUUAUUUUCUUUUAAUUUUGUUAACUCUUUUUUUACAGGUUAUAUGAUGAAGAUCUAGUAAAUUGAAAUCAGAAAUCAUGAUAGAAAUCACCGUUUUUUGCUCCCUUUAUUGAUAAAAAGGGGCACUUUUAUCGUCGUUUCAGUAACUCACAGGGCUUCCCUUAGCUCAGUCUUUUUGGUUCUUGAGAAUGGUCGCCACUUCUCUUAGAACGGAAAUGAUUAUCCCUGCCCGAUGGGUCUAUAUACAUCCUUGAACGUCGUCAGACACGAUUAACUUUCCCGUCAUUCUUGUAACUGUCACCUAUAAUAUAAUCCACGCAGGUGUGUCUGCCACCCUGAGUGGACGAGAAAAAAUCGUAAUAUAGUUGUCACUCAUAUUUCACUUUCAAAUAAUUUAACCAAACAAAGGAAAAAGAUAUUCCGUAUAAAUUCAAUCUUAUAAGGAGUGGUCAGAAUUGUCGUAAUCAAAAUGAUUCUGUAAAAUGUACGUUACAAAUGAUGGCAUGACUUGACUCCGAGGAGAACAAGAAACAUACUUUGAAAGUGACGUGACUUUUUUGUUCAUUAGUAAAAUUAGUGUACGUAUAUUAUUUUGAAAUUUACGAUAUUAAACAUAAUAUAAUAAAAUAAGAAACUUAAAUUACACUAAUAGAAUAAAUUUUAGAAUUAAAUUGUUUUGACAAACACACGUGACAAUAAGAUUUACUCCCUUCGUUUCAAUUUAAGAAAUAAAUAAUAUAAUUUUUAAAAUUUAUGGUCUAAAUUUUUAUGACUAGAAAUUAUAUUACUAAGGAUAAAAACAACAAAAAUCCUAAUAUAAUCCCACAGAAGUGGGGUCUGAAAAUAAUAGUGUGUACAUAUUUAAUCUCAACUUUGUCAAGGUAAAGAUACUGUUUACGAGAGACCCUCGACUAAGGGUAAAAAGGAAAUUCAAAUUGAAUUAUUAGCAAAGUGAUGAUUAAUUUUUCAUUUGACGUAUUUGUACAAUCACCGAAAACGAAGUACUAUAAACUGUAUAAUUCUGAACAGUACUAAUGCAAGGUGGAACUCAGGAUAAUAAUAUAAUUAUAGCCAAUAACGAAAUGGGAGUAACGAAUUGAUCCACAGUUUAUCUUUUUUGUCAAAAUCAAAUGAGAGUAUUGGAAUGAGAUGAGGGCUUUGAUUGCUCAAAUCUUUUUACAUCACUGUCCUAUCAAAGAAAAAUCCUUUUAAAUUCUGACUUUGAGUUAACCACAUCUAUGUAUUACUCCCUGUGUCUCAAUUUACGCCACGAAAACUUUUUAAUUUUAAUAGUAAAUUAAAAAUUAAAUCUUUAAAUUUUUUGAAAUAAAAUUUAUGUAGUUAAAAAUAUGUAAAUAGUACUAUAAUUUACAACAUUUUGUUUUGGUAACUGUAAUUUAUAUAAUUUACAACAUUUACGUUUGAAUAAUUGCAAAAAUAAUUAUUUCAAUCUCGAAAUUCAAACGGGAGAAAUUCAAAAAUAGCCAGAUUUACAAGUGGUCAUUCAAAAAUAGCCACAAUUUCAAAAGUAAUCGAAAUAGCCACAACAUAAUAUACUAGAGUUCCAUCAUAAGUAUACUGGAACUCCAGUAUAUUAUAAUGGAGUUCCAGCAUAAGUAUACUGGAAAUCCAGCAUAAUAUACUGGAGUUCCAGUAUAAUAUACCGAUCCAGUAUAAUAUGCUGGAAAUUCAUACACAGGUGCUCCAAUCUCCAGUAUAUUAUAUUAUGCUGGAACUUUCCACGUGUUGGAGUUCCAGCAUAAUAUGCUGGAAGUUCAUGCACAGGUGCACCGAUCUCCAGUAUAUUAUGCUGGACCGAUCCCUAUUGCAGCAAAAUAGUGGCUAUUUUUAAUGACUUUGCAAACGCUAGCUAUUUUUGAAUGACCAGUCUGAAAACUGACUAGCCCGUGCUAUUUUAACAAUUCAAACGCCACAUAAAUGAGACGGAAGGAGUAGUAAAGGACCAAAUCGAUUAUUUAUUUAUAUUUUCUACAACUGCUUUAAUAAAAUUACUUUUAGUACAAUUUUUUUUAAAAUCAUACCUUUUUAAUUAAAUUAUACAAUUUUUUAAUUCCUAAAAUCUCUCCGUGAUGUUCUCUCUCACUUAAAAUAUCUCUUUGUGUUUCUCACGUAUCUAUCACUAUCAAUUUCCCCAAAAUUUCUCAAAUAGAAGAUACUCCAUGAUUUCAUAGCGUAUAUCCCCUUUCUGCGUGAUUUCUCCAUUCUGUAUCAAUAUAAUAUAUCUGUGUAGGGGCCGAUUUUCAUAGAAAAUAUAUUGCUCCGAAAUUCAUGGACGGUGGUAGUAGAGACAUUGUUUGUAUUGAAGAAAUUUCAGAAUCAUCUUUUGAAAGAACCAAGUUGUUCUCAACCCGCCAUCACCCUCAUUCUAAUUUGCAACAGUAAAUCUUUAGUGUUUGAUGAUGAUGAUGAUGAUGAUGAUGAUUUCUGUUUGGAUUCGAUACAGAAAAUGAGUCAAGUUCUAGUUGUUAAUCGAGACGGAGUAGAUGCUUCCAAAGGGUCCUCAAAGGUAUUUCGUAGUAAUGCCCAUAAUAUACAAUAUACUCCCAGCAUAUAUAUGCUAAAACUGUCACAUAUCCACCACAUAUCGCAUACCAUCUUCCCAUACUGUAUAUAAUGAAUAGCUUGACGGCUUCACCUGUAAUAUAUAUAUAUAUAUAUACCAACUACGACUAUUACCUAUUUUUGGGAAUAUGGAGCGUUUGUGAUGAGGUAGUGUGGUAGUGGUAACCUAAUAGGUUUAUAUCUAUAUUAUGUUAAAAGGAGAGUAGUGAAGCAUGUGGUUAAGCCAAGUGGCAAGCUAAAAAGAAGCCACUUGGCAAUUUUAAGACAACAUUAAAAAUUUGAAUUAUAAAUAGAAACAUAAUUAAUGGAAGUAGUUUAAUGAAUCUUAUACUUAAUCUAAAUAGAUCUUAGACAAAUUUAAUCUAUAUAUCUACAUUUAAAUUUAUAUUUAUAAGUAUAUUUAUAUAUAUAUUGAUUCACCCAUAAUUUUUUUUCUAUAUUAACUAGAGAUAUGGAGGUAAAAAUUAAUUAAAAAUUCUAAUCGGAAAAAAUAAAAAAAUAUAGAAAGACGUAAUUGAGAUUACCUAUGACUAUUUAUACAUUGGAGUAAGUUAAAAUAUAAAAUUAAAUUAAAAUUUACUUAACUUACUAAAGAUAUAUUGAGUUUAAAAAUUAAAUAAAUUCAAGUAGCAAAAUAAGAUCUUACAUAAAGUAUAUAAAUUAUUUAUAAGGUAAGAAAAAACUUAAAUAAUCAGUAAAAAAAAUAUUUUNNNNNNNNNNNNNNNNNNNNNNNNNNNNNNNNNNNNNNNNNNNNNNNNNNNNNNNNNNNNNNNNNNNNNNNNNNNNNNNNNNNNNNNNNNNNNNNNNNNNNNNNNNNNNNNNNNNNNNNNNNNNNNNNNNNNNNNNNNNNNNNNNNNNNNNNNNNNNNNNNNNNNNNNNNNNNNNNNNNNNNNNNNNNNNNNNNNNNNNNNNNNNNNNNNNNNNNNNNNNNNNNNNNNNNNNNNNNNNNNNNNNNNNNNNNNNNNNNNNNNNNNNNNNNNNNNNNNNNNNNNNNNNNNNNNNNNNNNNNNNNNNNNNNNNNNNNNNNNNNNNNNNNNNNNNNNNNNNNNNNNNNNNNNNNNNNNNNNNNNNNNNNNNNNNNNNNNNNNNNNNNNNNNNNNNNNNNNNNNNNNNNNNNNNNNNNNNNNNNNNNNNNNNNNNNNNNNNNNNNNNNNNNNNNNNNNNNNNNNNNNNNNNNNNNNNNNNNNNNNNNNNNNNNNNNNNNNNNNNNNNNNNNNNNNNNNNNNNNNNNNNNNNNNNNNNNNNNNNNNNNNNNNNNNNNNNNNNNNNNNNNNNNNNNNNNNNNNNNNNNNNNNNNNNNNNNNNNNNNNNNNNNNNNNNNNNNNNNNNNNNNNNNNNNNNNNNNNNNNNNNNNNNNNNNNNNNNNNNNNNNNNNNNNNNNNNNNNNNNNNNNNNNNNNNNNNNNNNNNNNNNNNNNNNNNNNNNNNNNNNNNNNNNNNNNNNNNNNNNNNNNNNNNNNNNNNNNNNNNNNNNNNNNNNNNNNNNNNNNNNNNNNNNNNNNNNNNNNNNNNNNNNNNNNNNNNNNNNNNNNNNNNNNNNNNNNNNNNNNNNNNNNNNNNNNNNNNNNNNNNNNNNNNNNNNNNNNNNNNNNNNNNNNNNNNNNNNNNNNNNNNNNNNNNNNNNNNNNNNNNNNNNNNNNNNNNNNNNNNNNNNNNNNNNNNNNNNNNNNNNNNNNNNNNNNNNNNNNNNNNNNNNNNNNNNNNNNNNNNNNNNNNNNNNNNNNNNNNNNNNNNNNNNNNNNNNNNNNNNNNNNNNNNNNNNNNNNNNNNNNNNNNNNNNNNNNNNNNNNNNNNNNNNNNNNNNNNNNNNNNNNNNNNNNNNNNNNNNNNNNNNNNNNNNNNNNNNNNNNNNNNNNNNNNNNNNNNNNNNNNNNNNNNNNNNNNNNNNNNNNNNNNNNNNNNNNNNNNNNNNNNNNNNNNNNNNNNNNNNNNNNNNNNNNNNNNNNNNNNNNNNNNNNNNNNNNNNNNNNNNNNNNNNNNNNNNNNNNNNNNNNNNNNNNNNNNNNNNNNNNNNNNNNNNNNNNNNNNNNNNNNNNNNNNNNNNNNNNNNNNNNNNNNNNNNNNNNNNNNNNNNNNNNNNNNNNNNNNNNNNNNNNNNNNNNNNNNNNNNNNNNNNNNNNNNNNNNNNNNNNNNNNNNNNNNNNNNNNNNNNNNNNNNNNNNNNNNNNNNNNNNNNNNNNNNNNNNNNNNNNNNNNNNNNNNNNNNNNNNNNNNNNNNNNNNNNAAAAACAUAUGAAUACAUUCAUGGAAUAUAGCGAGAUAAUGAAUACAAUGAAAUACAUGGAAUACAUCGGGAUACAUUGAAAAAAAGACAAUGAAUACAAUGAAAUACAUAGAAUACAACGAGAUACAUUGAAAUACAGUGAAAAAAAGGUAACAGGCUCUUCAAGUUGCUCAGCCCAAACUCCGUCGUCUUUGUUCAAGAACAACCCUAAUAUCGUCUCGUCAAGAGGGCCGCGAUUCUGACUUGAAACUCUCAAAAUUAGGCGCAAAAACGAACGAAAUUCCUUAUUUUCAAUAGCAGAUUGCCUUCUUUUGUUAGUAAUUGCGAAUUUGGCAGAUAAAGAAAAGCAGCAAUGGAGGUCGUGAGAGGCAAGAGUUGCAGUGGCCAUGGCCAGUUUUCAUUGCAAAGCAACGGACACCAGAAUAGGGUGGAUCAUUCUCUUUAGGGGUUGAUUUCGACAUUGAUUUUUUUUUCCAGAGCCCUAUCCCACUGACAAUGAAAAUUUCGCGAGACAAUGGAGAUGAAUCAGUGGAGAAUAGUGGUUAUAUUCACGAAGAAAGACUGGCGUUGAGAGAGAGAGAGAGAGAGAGGGUAGAGAAAAAUCUAAAAGAAUGAGAGAGAAAAAUAAUACAAAGAGUAUUUUAUGGCUUAAGGGUAAGAGGUAACCAUAAAUAGAUAUUUGGCUAUAAAAGUUAAAAGGUAGCUAUGGAAUAUAAUUUUUUAAAAAGGUAUUUCUUUAAAAUAAAUAAGGUAUCAACCUUUGCUAUAUAAGAUAAAAAUUCCUAAUAUUAUCUAUGCAAUUAGAAUUUGUUACUUUAUAUAUAAUUUGACAAUAACUAACACAGGAUGCACACGCAAUGUGAUCAUGCCCAAUUAUGCUUUAUAAAAGGACAAAACGGUCGCUGCAAAUAUAAUUCGAGUAUUUAGCCCAGAGUCGAAUCCACAGGGAAUUAACCUACCAAUUACUCUUAUUAGACUCACUAAAUUCUUUGUAAUCAACUUCCCAGAUAUUUUGAAUAACAAUUGGAGAUGUUUUUACUAACUAUAACUGGAUAACGUUAAGUAAACCAAAACCUAACUAUGAUUGAGUUGUAAACAAAUAAGAGAAGGAUCUAAGAUUGUGAUUUCCCCUAUUGAUGGAAUCCCUUCCUGUUAUGUUUCGCAUAGAAUUGCCUAAUUGUCUCUAUCGAUCAUGAACACUCUUACUAUCGUAAUCUCUCCCGAGUAAUUACGACAAUUUACUAGAUGCACUCUCCUGAGUUAUGCUAGUUGACUUUUAUUACAGCUCACUUUAGAUCGCACCCAAGGUUUCGUUAUCCCUAAUCCCACCUUUAAACCCUCGGUUAAUGAUUCCUCAUAUACUUUGGGAGUGGUGUUGUUCAACAAUUACCAAAAUAUGCACUCUCUCCCGAGUAAUACAUACUAAAUAGGCACAGAUAAGUGAGAAUCCUAUCAAUUAACUACAACAAGAACGUAGUUGAACAAAUAGAUAUUAAACCGGGCAAACUAUAUUAACAUAAUACGAAGUUCAUCCUUCAACAGGUUCCAUCAAAACCCUAGAUUAAAUAUUUAGCUACUCAUAAUCGUAUUCACACUAACAACAACAAAAUUUAUCAUAAAUGGUAAAUACAAAAGGAAGAAAGGAAGAACUCGAUGUCGAAUUAUCCUUCUUGCCUCUUGCCUCUUGCCUCUCCUUGCCUUCAACUAAGCUGUAAAAACCUUGAUAAUGUCCCUUUGGGCGAGCUGGACCUCUUAUAGGUUAAGUGGAAUUACCCAGAACUUCCAAGUUUACCCCUGAAAUUAUAUGCUCCGAACUGGACUAGCACAGCCGCGCUCGUGCCCGCGCUAAUGGCCGCACAUAUAGCAUAUUAUUCUGCCUCGAAUUUCUGGGCUAGCGCGGUCGCGCUAAGCUGGUUAGCAUUUUAUCACUUGUUUUCUCUCUUCUUUCACACAUACUCAGCUCCGAGGGGUUUCCCUUGCUUUAACUUAGCUUCAAACACUGUCCUAAGUCCUCAUAAACGCAACUCACUCCUGCAAAAUAUGAUAUUCGCAAUUAGAGUCAAUUUAUUAUCAUUUAACCAUCAUAGAAUAGUGAAGCAUAGUCAAGUUGGGACAUAAACAGUCGCCCAACUACAUGAAUCUAGCCUAUUAUCACAAUGCAAAGUGUCCAUGCAGUAGUAUUUCUAAUACGAAUACUAAUAAGAAUUUUCAGAAGGUCUACAAGGUAAGAGCUAUGAUAUUUAACCAAUUAUCUUAAAAUUUUGAGUUGAAUAUAUUCAAAAAUUCUCAUAAUAUAUUAUCAGUCAGCUCUUUAUACGACCAUUUUAUCUAAAUAAUGAGCACCUACAUGUCCAAAUUAGAGUUAAGUGCAUCAAUAGCCACUUUUAAGCUCGUUUUUUAAAAUAUAUUUACUAUUUAUAAUGUAUUUAAAGAUUAGCCAAUUCACUCAAACUCCAAGACUAAGUAUCCUUAAUUUGAUUUAGGACUUAGUGUCCUGAAUUUUUGAGUUGUUAAUUUGAAAUUCAGGUCUAAAUGUCUUGAAUUUCUGAACUAUUAAUUUAAAAUUCAGGGUAUAAGAUUCGAACUUCUGGACACAAUUUUCGAACUAUGACACAAUAUCCUAAAGUUUGAAUUUUAGGAUGCCAUGUCAUGAAGUUUGAGCAAAAUUGACUACUCUUUAAAUACAUUAUAAACUGUGAAUAUAUUUCAAACAACGCGCUUAAAAAUUGCAACAUGGAGUCAUUUCCACUCCAGAUUACCAAAGAAAAUGAUCCUUUCUAACAUGAAGAAAUCCCCUUUACGUCCUCGGCUUGUCUAUGCCCAAGGCCCAGCAAAAUUGAAAAGCAUUCGGUUACUAUUCUCAAAAUACUAAUCGAGCAAUAUCUGGAGUAUAUUCAAAAUUUUCAGUUUGGUCUAGGGCCAUGAAAAUACUACUUAUAAGUAAAAAUAGCACGGGCUAACCAGUUUUCGAACUGGCCAUUAAAAAAUAGCCAGCAUUUGCAAAGCCAUUAAGAAAUAGCCACUAUUUUGCUGCAAUACGGAAAGUUCCAGCAUAAUAUACUAGAGAUCGGUACACUUUGUGUAUGAACUUCCAGCAUAUUCAGCAUAAUAUUAUGCUGGAACUCCAACACGCGGAAAGUUUCAGUAUAAUAUACUGGAGAUUGGAGCACCGAUGCUCCAAUCUUCAGUAUAUUAUGCUGGAUUGGAACUCCAGUAUAUUAUACUGGAGUUCCAGUAUACUUAUGCUGGCAUUUCAGUAUAUUAUACUGGAGUAUUUUUCCGAAUUUUGAACAGUGUUUUCGUUCAGAUUUAUCUUUACAUGAAAAGUGGCUAAAUUUCUAUUACUUUUGAAACCGUGACUAUUUUUGAAUGACCACUCGUAAAUUUAGCUAUUUUUUAAUUUCUCCCUGCUAAUAAUGAAGGAAAUUGUACUUCUAAUGCCCAAUUUAUAGGAGUUUUUUGUGUGUGUGUUUUCUUGUUUUCCCCUUUUUAAUAUGCAUUUACAGAGUUUGCAUGUUUUUGUCAAUGUUUUCUUCUGUAAUAUUCUUCUAAAGCCCAACAUAAGAAUCAACAGUUCCUUCAACAUUAUCAUCAGAAUCAGAAUACACUCUUCUGGAGUAGCACUAUACAAUUCAUUUGUUUCCUCCUUCCAUUUUAAAGAAAACAGAAGUAAAAAAGAAUUUAAAACAGAAUAUGCCAACAGAACAAACCUCAAAGCAUUUCUUUCCAUAUCCAAUGAUCCAUCCUCUUCACAGUCGUCCAAUUAUGGUUUCCUCCAUAUUCCAAGAAUAAAUCUGUAUAAUAUUUGUCCUCCAACAUGUGCUGUACAAGUGUAACGCGAACCUCCUGCCCUUAAUACUGCACCUUGACUAGCAAAAAUGGAGAAACAAGAUAUCGAUGAUCUUCAGCUGGCGUUAUAUACAAAUUUUCUACCCGUAGACAUCAUGUUUGUAUCAAUCAAUUGAAGCCAACAGUCACAACGAGCGAAUUUCUAAAAGUUCGUCACAAGAUAGAACUUGUUUGUGCCACAAUUUUUCUUCUCAAUACAAGCUUGCAACUACUCUUUAAUCUGAGAACAUCUCUUCCAAUUCUGGUUGUUCUGUUUUAAAGAAAAGUUGGCUAGAGUCUGCCUUCAUUUCUUUAGGUAAUGCUCUUCCCUGAUCAACUUCAUUCUCCAUAUAAUCUGUUGUAUCAAACAAAUCUUGCUCAUCUUCACUAAUGUGACCAUCAAUCACUUCACCAAAAGAUCUCCUAGCACUAUCAUCAGCAGAAUCAGUGCCCUUAUCAAAAUUCAUUGCAAAAUUUCCAGGAAUAGUUAUAUCUUCUCUAUCCUUGACAUUGGAAUUUUCACAAAUGCAUGCUGAUGGAUUUUCAUGAAAUUCACCCCUCCCUUGCUUUACCUCCAUUGGAUCUCCCAUGAAACCUAUUUGAUAAUUUUGAACAUGCGAGGCAAACUCUUCCCACGUCAUGUUAUUUCGAUCCAUAAACAACUUAUUUAGCUUCUUAGCAUUUGGACGGAUAGUUGGCUUGUGACCAAAAUAUCUCCUGCAACAUGAAAAAGAUUUCCGUAAGCAGGGGCGAGGCCACAAGCCUGCGUACAAGUUCGGCAGAACUCAAUAGCUUUAGUCCAUCCUAUAUUUGUGAUAAAAAAUUCAUUUAACAUGCAUAAAUAAUUUAUUUAGAACUACUAAGUUGUCUAUUUUAAAAUUCAGAACUCAUAAACUCAAAAUUCUAGCUCUACCCCCUGUAUGUAUGUUUGUAACUCUAACCGAAGGUUUGACAACACUUUCAAGUAUAAAACAGCAAGUGCGUACCUUCGUCCAGCAAGCAUUCUUGCCAUAUUGCCAUUGUUAUUUGAUACAAAAACAUCACUCUCAUCGCAAACAAUGAAAUCCAAAGCAGCCAUUCUGGAAGAAAAGGAAGAGAAUGGUGCCAGCUCCUCCUUGCUGGCAAGUGUCUCUUUGGUGUAAAAAUUUGGAAAGAAAGCCUUAAGAGGAGCCAAUGUCUCGUCACCCCCAUAGAUUUCCCCUGAUGCGAUAUAAAUAUGAACAUCAUUACCAAAACCAAGUGCUCUAAGCAUAAGACCGACUUCCUCAGGAGUUAGAGGACAUUUUCCAUUCCUUCUUUCUUUAUCUGGAUUUCUUGACUGGAUUUUAUGCCAAAGAAGCAACAACAUGUUUAGUGCAAGUAGUAGGAGCAAUGUAAAUACUGACAGUUACUGUAAUAGGUAGUGACUUACAUGUAACGUCUUCCACCUCUUUCGUAUUUUACCCAGUUCUAGCCUUUCCUUUUCUCCUCCACCAUAAUAGCAUCCUGAGAAUGCUAGCAUAUCUGAUUCAAACCUUUCAUACGAAAAUAAAACUUCAGCUAGCACAUUAGUAGUGACAUGGAUAAGUCCAUAAUCUACAAUAAAAUGAUCAACUUUUAAGUCCGUAAAUGAUACGUUGAAUUCAAAUAUAGCACACAAUAUAGGUAUUCUAGUUUGACAAAACUGAAUAUGUGCAGCAGCAAUAAGAGUGAGCUUUAGCAUUACAUUCACCGUAUGUAGAGAAUAAAAAAAUCAUAAUAGAGUUCAGAUAGUCUGGAUAUCUGUUUAUAUUGAUUGUUAAGUAAGAAAAAAUAAUGACCAGAAAAAUCUUGUGGAAGUAUCAAAUAAGCGCAUUACCUUAGAUGUAGCGCAAGGAAAUGCUUGCUUUUCUUUCUUAUCCUUUCAACCAAUUUUUUUCCCAUUUCAAUUAUGGGAUCAGUAAACUUCAAUGCAUGAUAGUUGAUUCUACAUCUCAGCUUCUGUAGCUCUGUAUCCAAACGAUUGGAGAGUCUGUAAUCAAAUUUUGUUAACUGAACAGCCUGCAUCAGCAACGAGAACUCUUCAAAAUCAGAGUACCAACUCUUAUCUCCCAAUAUUUUGUAGUUAUUAUUACAAAGCAGUUGGAGAGUUGAGCAUCAAACUUUAAGUUCAAGUGUGAUCAACAGACUUCGGCUCUGUAUUUAAAGUUAAAACUUCUAGGAAAUAAUUAAGUUAAACUUGUGUUAUAAGGAUAGCCAAUUCAUUUCCAUGAUAUUGAUCUGCAUCAGUCUGGUCUGGACAAAAAUAUUGAAUUUCAAAAGAGUCCGGACAUACACAUACAAUUCAACAAGAAAAACAGGCUACUAACAGCUUAGAGAGUCUGCAUAUAAACUUGCAAAAAUUUCUUUGUCAAGGAGUUACAUCAUGUUAAGAUACAACACACAAGUCAAACACAGUGAAGUAAUUCUUAUUGAUGUAGACUGACUUACGUGUUUUUUAACUAAAAUGGGCUGGAUACGAGUCUGAUAACACUUAGCGUUGCACUUCCUUGGAACACGUGUUGUAUGCGGUUUUAUGAGUUUAUUUCCCAUUCUUGGGAGAUCCUUAAUAAUUUUGACAUCUUUUGAUAGGUAUGAAAUAAACCAGUUGACAUCAAAAAUUUCGGAGAAGUCACUGCACAAAAGGAAUAGAUUAGUCCCUAAGAUUUGAAAUCACUAAACGACACAGAGAUUGCUCAAAAAAUGCAUCCAAGUACAAAUCACAUCAAGUAAAACCUUGAGUCGUUCCAAUAAGAUUCUUGGUCCAGCUUCGGAAUUACAAGGAUGGCAUUCAAGAUAUGAGCUGCAACAACAGCAUCAAUAAUCUGCAUUCAGCAAGAAAACAGCUUCAAACUCGCAUCAUUUCAACAGUCUCUUAAAUGUAACGGAAAAAGAAAAGAAUUCCAGGCUAAACAUGAUCUGCUCAUAGGGUAAUAUCCAUUAACAUGCAUGAGCAGAUUAAAUAUCAUUUCAAGAACUGAUGCAAUAUCACUUAUAUGAUAAAUGUGCGAUGACCAAUAAAAACUAGAUUCAUCCCUAAAAGACAAGAGGAUCAUGAAAAGGGAAAUAAGUGGCUAUCCAUUUUCUUCUAUUUGCAGGUGAUUAUAUGCAUCAGAUCAAUGUUGCUAACUAGUUCAGCCAGGUCAAAGGAAGAACACUUAAAAUGAGGUAAAUUUAUCUUAGGUAAUAGCUAAAACUUGGGACAAGGUAGCCUUAGGGAAUAGACCUAAUAUUAUUCAUGAGAAACAACUUAAACAAUGCCUCUGUAGCUGGAAGUAACGAGAAGAAUUUAUACGAACAUGCACCAUGUCAUUAGUCCAAGUGAUGUUAUGGUUCAUGGUUUAAUCUGCGGUAGGAAAACCUUGGGGACUUGGGAGUUUUGCUUUGUUAUUUCUUAACAGCUGAAAAAAUUGUUACUAGGAGCAAGUAUGUAUAUUCAAAAGGCAAUGAUGCACCUGUAACUAAGAAUUUAAAUACUGGAAGAUCUCACUGAAAUGGCAAAGAUAGCAUUUCUUGCAAAAUAGUUCUCCCUUCGGUCCAUUUUAGUUGUCAUGUUUCACUUUUACACGCCCCUAAAAGUCCCUUGAGGUGAUGAGCUUUCUGAUUACCAUACCCUUAUUUACUCCACAUUUAGAUUUUCUAUGCUAUGCAAUCAAUGAUUUUUACUUUGAAGUCCAAUUAAUGCAAAGGACGAAAUGGAAAAAAAAAAUACUCCAAUUGAUUAUAUCUGGAUUGUUUAAAGUGACAAGUAUUUCGGAUCAGUUAUUUUUAGUAACUAAAACAACUAAAAUGGACCGGAUGAAGUAACAAAUCAGGAAAAGAGCCAUUUUCCUCAUUUACUAUUGUAGUGAGCCAGAAUAAGGUUAGGCUGGGGAACAGGCACACAAUAAAUAUAAAAUAAAAUAAUCUGUCUGGUGCUCUCCAUGUUAUUGACCUUCAAUUAGUGAAAAAAUGCAGUAACAGUUACUGGGACGAGAGAAGUACCCCUGUUCUCUGUUGAUUCAAGCCUCCACUUGUUGCAAUCAUCAAGUACCUAUUAGGAAGUGUAUUCACCUCAGCAGCUGCAAAAUGUUGGACAGAUCCCAUAUCAACCAAAUAGAAACAAGAAUAUUUAGGGCAGCUCUGUGCAUAAAGCAUCCCGCAUUCACGCAAGGUUUGGGUAAGAGUUGUACCCGUAGGGGUGUGAUAUAGACAACCUACCCUAAUGCAAGUAUUAGUGGCUGCUUCCACGGCUCAAACCCGUGACCUAUAAGUCACACGAAGACAACUUUAUCGCCGCUCCAAGGCUCCCUUUUAGAAACAGAAAUAUUUAAACAACAAAAAAGUACUUUGUCCUGGAAGGGCCGCAUCCCUAGUGUUGUGAUUUAGACAUUCUAUUUUAGUGCAAACAUUAAUGACUGCUUCCAAGACUCGAACCAGUGACAUAUUGGUCGCGCGUAAAUAACUUUACCAUCGCUAGAAAACUCUUUUUAAAAAAAGAAAUGUUUAAACAAAAAAAAAAUACUCCCCCCUCCCCCGGGUCCCAUUAGCAAUUAAUGAACAAAAUGUGAAAUCAAUUGGAAACAUAUAAAGGAAUGGUUACUUGGAAACUGGUCAGUGGCAACACUGCAACCAUGGUAGAAAUUCGAUUUCUUCGAAUUCCACAGGUCUCGGCUGCUUAAGCUCCCUCCACCCAUCUAUACACAUUCAAAUCCCACACGAAAAAUCAAACAAACAAACUCAUGAUAUAACCACCCAGCAAUGAAAUGUGAAAUUAAAGCUGUAGCGUUCACUCACCGGAACCCGAAACACCUGUUCUUCUAGAAGCUUCUUUCGAAACUCCGUUCCGUUAUUAAACUAGAAAAACAACACAGAACAGUUACAAAACCAUUGGGCGUAGAAGUACGAAAACAGAGAACGUCAUUUGUAACGUAAAUAACAUUUCAUGGUUCUCACCGAGCUGCGGCUGAUAAAGUGACGAUGGCGGCUAUUAAUAGGAGGAGAAAGGUAAGAGAGAAGCGUAAAUAAAAGGAGAAGAGCGCCGGAUAAAGCUGAGAGGAAAGGGAGGAGGUGGUAAAUGCGACGGCGUCGACGGAAUAGUAAAACGAUCGGAAGUCCGAUAAACACCGCCGCCGUCUCAUGGCGUUGCUUUCUGUAUUUCAUUUCGUUACAAGUAAGAACAAUCGCCGGUAAUUCAGCAACUCCGGCGCCGGCAGCUAACAAUCAGCUUGGAAUCUCCGUCGAACGAUAACAACAUUGUAAUAUUCCCGGUAACGUAUUUGCUGUUAUCUCUCACUAUACGCAUGUUAUAUAUGCCUACGUAUUUAUCUGUUUGUUUAAUUCAUUAAUUAAACUGCAGAAAUAUUAUCCCUUAAUUAAUUUGUACAAAUAUACUAAACUAACUGCCGCCUCGACUAAAUCGCACCUAAAAUCUUAGUUAGGAAAUCUACAUUUAACAACUCACAUUUCUCAUGCUACUCUCUUUUGAACUGAUCUGAUGAGGAUAACGCAUGUCUAUAUACACAAACGGUCAAAAUCUGCAUGGAGUUCAUUUUUCUUUUUUUAGUAAAAACAAAACUUUACACCUAACAACUUCUUUGGACGUUACUCAUUGUAAUGUAUCGUAUUGUUACUUAAAAUACGAUGUUUAUUUUGAUUGUUAUAUAAAUUUUAUUGUAUCGUAUCGUUAAAUUCGUCGUUAUAAAACGACCAAAAGUGUUACUUUAUGGAACGACUGAUUUGGUGUGGUCGUGUCGUUCCCUUUUUUUUCUUUUCUCAUUUUGCCCUUCGAUAUUAUUAAAUAAUUAUAUUUUAUCUUUUAUUCUACCUUUUUAUAUAAUAAUUUUACCCCGUACCUUAUUUUUUUUCUUUAUCAUAUUACAAGUUUAUUCUUCAUAUGAUACCAUGAAACGACAAAAAAAAUGUAAUCUAUCCAAACAUUGUAUAUAUCAAAACAAUACAGUACACUAUAAUAUUAUACGAUGCAUUAUGAAACGAUACAUAACAACCAUCCAAACAAGGUUGUAAAUGUAGUGUAAUUUAUUACUAUUAAUUAGAUCUAAACCACUUUUAUAUAUAUAUAUAUAUAUAUAUAUNNNNNNNNNNNNNNNNNNNNNNNNNAGGGAAAACUUGUUUGUAUUUGGGGAUAUCAAUUAAAGCUGGGUUACAGGGCGGAGCUAGUAUAUAGGUUACCGGUUCAGGUAAUCCCAAUAAUUUUGAUCGAAACCUAAUAUUUAUAUUAAGAAAUUUAUUGAAUAUGUAUAAAUUAUUAAUUUAGAACCUAGUUACUUAAAAAUAUUAGAAUCUCGAACUCAUAAACUUUAAAUUUUAGCUCUGCCUUUGCUGGAAGGUUUGAACCAGACCAGUCGCGGAGCCACGUUUAACCAAGGGUCGUCCGUUACACCUUUUCACCGAAAUAUUAUAUGUUUUGCUAGGUAUAAAUAAAUUGUUUUAUGCAUAUAUACUAUAUGUUGAAUCUCUUUGACUUUUUCGUGUAUUUAAUUUUUAUAUUUUGAUACUUUUUAGUGAAUUCUUGAGUCGAGGGUCUAUUAGAAAUAACUUACCUAUUCCUCUGGAGUAGAGUCAACGUACAUACCCUCCCCAGACUUCACUUGUAGAAUUUUAGUGGAUUGUUAUUGUUGUGUUAAUUAACGCAAGAGAGGAGCAAAACUACAGAGAUUACUGCAGGAAGGUAUAAUUAAUAUUAUUCUCUAAUUAGUCACUAUUUGCGCACAGAACAGAUUUAAUUUGUUUAUUGCCAAGUUGCAUGGGGAGUAGUAGUUCAAGAACGGAUAAGAGAUUGCGUGUGAUUGAAGUCGUAAAUCGAAAACACAUUCAUGCUUGGCACGAUUUAAAUUCCCAUAACUAUCGGUCCCAACCCAACUGCCUAUACUUUUUUCAGAACUUAAGUUGAAUUUAGAGAGGAAUUCAGGAUUUAAAUUUUAUGGGUUUAGAUCAUUUAAUUUAAUGGUUUAAAAUUUAUUAUUUAUAUAUAUUUAAUAAUUUUUUAGGCAAAAAUAUAGGAUAUGAAUGAAAACUAUGGGUGUAAUUAAACUAUAGCUUCUACACUAGAUAUGCCUCUGGUCGAAUUAUAUACAGGGAAGAUUAAUUUAUGAUUUGGGGUGGGUGUUUGACGGAUAAGCUGUCAAAUUAUUUGGUGUUAGAUUUAGAUAGCGAUAAUUAAACAUCCUAAUUGGGACUGCAGUUGUAGCAUUUGUUCUCCUUAAUUUGUACUUCCUCCGUCUCAUAUUAAUUGUCACGAUUCUCUUAUACACGUCCUUUAAGAAAACUUAAUUAGGAUGGGAUUUUGAAUAUUUUAUCCUUAUUCAUGUUUUAAAAUUUAAUCUUUCUUCAUUGGUAUUUGAACAAAGUUAUCUAUAAUUGAUGGGUUUGUAUUCUUCAAGGAUAAUUAUUAUUAAGGGUAAAAAAGGAAAAAGAUAAUCGAUUGUGUCUUGAACUUCUAAAUUGACAAAUAAGUUAGAGACAACUAUUUUUAGUAACCACGACUAAUAAUAUGAGACAGAUGGAGUGCGAGUCUUUCUGUCACGACCCGAAUUUUUCACCCUCAGGAGUCGUGAUGGCGCCUACUAGUGAAAGCUAGGCAAGUCGAUUAGUAUUAUUUAACCAUUUUCAGUUAUAUCCCUUAGCAAUUCCAAAACAACAUAACAAAAACAGCGGAAAUAAUGAUAACAACAAUAGUGCGGAAGAUGAAGUGUGAUAAUUUAAAUUAAUACAAAUUGCGGAAGUCUAAGUACAACUCUACCUAGAAUUUGGUGUCACAAUGUCACGGACCAUCUAUGAAUACUACAAAUAAAGUCUGAAUAGAAAUAUACGAAUCUGUCUCUGAAUAAGUAAAAAUAGAAAGGGAAUGACAGAAGGAGACGCCAAGGCCUGCGGACGCCUACAGGACUACCUCGGGUCGCCUGAAUGGACUGAAGACAGCACCCUCACUACGGUCCAAAAGCUGUAGCAUCGGGAUCUGCACACAGUGUAGAGUGUAGUAUCAGUACAACUGACCCGAUGUGCUGGUAAGUGCCUAGCCUAACCUCGGCGAAGUAGUGACGAGGCUAGGACCAAACUACCAAAUAAACAUGUGCAGUCAAAUCUAGAUAAAAGACCAAGAAUGAUAGUAAAAAGUCAGGGAGAACAUAUGAGGAAACAUGUGUAAGUAAGGGCAUAAAGUCAGGGGAACCUAUGGUAUCCUGUUAUUCAAUCUGGUUAUCUGAACUCUAACUUCUCGUAUUCAAUUAAGUUUGUCAUCAUCAAAAAAGGGGAAAUUGAUAGGUUUUCAAUAUCUUUAUCUUGUGUUUUGAUGAUGUAACAAACUUAAUGUUAAGAACCAGAUAGGGAGCCUGACUCACUUGGAUUACACUGCAUCUAACGGAUUCCAGCCAAAUGUGAACUUGCUACAGCUUCAUGAGGUAGGAACCCAAACAAGGACCUGAUACUCUUGUGGGUUCUUCACAGCAAUAUAAAGUCAGUUGAACACAUCUGGAAACAAAGAUUCUGCCGCACUGUACUAUUUUCAUCGCCCACUCAUUCUCUGACCAACUAAAGUGCUCAUAUCACUUCAAGCGAUGUGAUCAAGGUGUACCUACAAUGAGUCUAUACAAAGCAUAAUUCAAGUUACUCAACUCAAGACAAUCUAGGCAGUGUGCACAAGAACCAGAUCAGGAACCUGAUCCCUUGGUGCUUCUCUGACAGAAGUACAAGUCAACUAUACAGCUGGAACGCAUCUGAGUGACUGAUCACAACUGUACAAAGAGGAACACAACAGGGACCUGGUCCCUUAGGGUUCUCUAACAGAAGUACAAAGUCAACUACAGCUGGAAAGCAACUACAGAAAGUGACUACCUGCAACAGUGUAGCACAUAGAGCAACAGACAGUACAACAAUCACUUUCCAUUGAGAUUGGACAUCACUAAGGUAAUGUCGUGUGUAGUAUAAACCUCAUGCAAGGCACAAGAUUCUAGUUCAAUACUUGAAAAUACAGAAAACGAAAAUUCUCUCAAGUGCUCAAGAACCUCUCUCAAGAACAAAGCUGUUGCAACCUCAAGGACCUGAUCCAAGAUCGAAGAUAUCUUAAGUCCUUAGGUUGUUGGGUCUUUGUUAUGUGUUCUUCAUUGUAAUUCCUAGUUUACUUUCUUAGAAGCGUUGUCUUAGGAACAAACCAAAAUUCAUAAACUUCUGAGUUUAUGUUGUGACUAGGGAUAGUCAUAAGCAAAAGCCUUUGUAACCGUAGUGUGACAAAGUGGCUUGUGGUGGAAACAUCACAAGUUAGUCAAAGCCUUUGUAACUAUAGUGUGACAAAGUAGCUUGUGGUGGAAAUACCACAAGUUAGUCAAAUUCUUUAUAACUAGGAUAGUUAUAGAGUGGCUUGUGAUGAGAGCAUCAUAAGUUAGUUGAAGUCUUUGCAAUAAGGUUAUUGUAAAGUGGCUUGUAAUAGGGAGUUUGCAAGUUAGUGAAGUUAAAAGCCUACCAGUGUAGGUCGUGAUUUUUUGAUCCCCAUGUGUGGGAUUUUUUCACGUAAAAAUCCUCGGCCUUAUUUACAUACAACUUUACUAGCAUUCACAGCAGAACCCCACAAAGGACCAGGUACUCUACGGUUUGGUGGAUUCACACAAAAUUAGCACUGUACCAAACUGAUAUAAGACCAGAUCCCUAUACAGUUUGGUUCAUCAGUAUUUUUAGAAGAAACACAUAGAGAACCCGUUUCUCUAUACAGUUUGGUGGACGCACAGGGUCUAACAAAAUCAUAUACACCGGAAAAUAAAGGCAAAAAUGUACAGUUAAGGAUAAGAGGGAGAAACAUGUUGCAGGGAACAUCAAGUAAUAAUAGAAGAACAUCAGAUAAAUAUAAGGAACACCAAAAUGCAAUUAUCAACAAGAAUCAGAAAUAAAAGACAAGUGCACUGCAUCACCUUUCGUGCUUUUACUCUCGUCCUCACCAUAAAAUCAAUAAAAUCGGCACGACAUCACCCUUCAUGCUUUUACCUCAUAUAAACAUGGCACGGAAUGAUCCUUCGUGCUUUAUCACUCAUAUCAUGGUACAGAAUUGUACAUCGUGCGGCACGACAUCACCCUUCGUACUUUAACCUCGCAAAAAUUGGCACGCCAUCACCCUUCGUGCAUUAACACUCUCUUACAGAUAUCAUGCACGACAUCAUCCUUCGUGCUUUAACACUCUUCAUUACCCAAACAAUAAUCACAAAGCAAUAAGGGCAAGGGAAUCAAUAAAAUCACAAUAAAAUCCCGGCAAGGGAACAAUAGUAUAACAACCAUAUCCUGGCAAGGGAAACAAUAUCAAAGCAAUAACAUCCCGGUAAGGGAGAUAACAUCAAAAGUAAUAACAUCCUGACAAGGGAGACAAUAUCAUAAACCUCUUCUCUUUUCCACAUUUACUUCACAACUCAAUUCACAACUUGAGCCAAUGCUCCAAAAUGUUCAAUUGCCAAUAAUACUUCCACAAAUUAUUUUACAACUUGAGCCAACACUCUUCAACGUUCAAUUAUCAAUAAUACUUCCACAAGCCUUGUUCAACAAAAUGAAUCAUCAUAUAAAGCAUGGACAAUACGAAUCGGAGUCACAUUAAUCAUAGUAUAAGACUCACAGGCAUGCUUGACACCAACGUAUAAAUACUCGUCACCAUGCCUAUACGUCGUACUCAACAAUUAACACAUAGCACAUAAAACACAACUCCUAAUCCUCAAGCUAAGGUUAGACCAAACACUUAUCUCGAUGCCACGAACAUAAUUCAAGCCUCAACUACCGCUUUACCUCUUGUUUCCACCACCAAGUCGCUUGUAUCUAGCCAUAAGUUACUUAACUAUAUCAAUAAAUGCUAAGUGAAUCAAUUCUAAUGCAUGAAAAUAAGUUUUCUAAAGUUUUUCCCAAAAAGUAAAAAAUCGACCCUAGGCCCACAUGGUCAAAACCCGAGGUUCGAACCAAAACCUGAUUACCCAUUCACCCACGACCCCAAAUAUAUAAUUUAUUUUGAAAUCGGACCUCAAAACGAGGUCCAAAUCCCCAAAAUUUGAAAAACCUAAGUUCUACCCAAAACACCCAAUUUCCCCCAUGAAAACCCUUGAUUUUUAGUUGAAAUCAUGUGAAAAGAUGUUAAAGAAUAAGGAAAACGAGUUAGAAUUUACUUACAAUCGAUUUGGAAGAGUAGUUGUCUUUAAAAAAUCGCCCAAAAGUAUUUAGGUUUUGAGAAGGUUUGAACAAUGAGAGAUUUUCGACUAAGUCAUGAUUUACACAGGCGCAGAUAUCGCAAUUGCGAAGUUUGGUUCACAAAUGCGAACUCGCAAUUGCAGCCAAAGCUUCGCAAUUGCGAAGGAUGGCCUAUGUCUGCUUUCUUCGCAAAUAUGCGAACAGUGUUCGCAAUUGUGGUGCCUGUCAAGGUCGCAUUUGCGACAUAAGCUUCGCAAAUGCGAAGGUAUCCUAUCCAGCCAGUCUUCGCAAAUGCGGGGUUUCUCGCAAAUGCGAGCUCGCAAUUGCGAGUCAGGCUUCGCAAUUAUCUGCAAUAUACCAGCAGUUUUUUCCUAAAUUUAAAACACUCUUUGGCCUAUCCAAAACUCACCCGAGCCCUCAGGGCUCCAAACCAAACAUGCACGCAAGUCCAAAAACAUCAUACGGGCUUGCUUGUGCGAUCAAAUCAUCAAAAUAACAUUAAUAACUAUGAGUUUAGCAUCAAAAUCAAAGAAAAAUCUCAUGAACUCUUAAGUUCCAAUUCUAACAACCGAUGGUCCGAUUCACGUCAUUUCAAGUCCGUUUCUUACCAAAUUUCACAAGCUCGACUUAAAUACCAUAUAAGACCUGUACCGGAUACCGGAACCAAAAUACAGGCCCGAUACCAUCAAAUUCAAACAUAUUUAAAUUUCUGAAAACUCUUAUAAUUUCAGUCAAACAAUUUUCUUCAAAAAUUCAUUUCUCUGGCUUGGGACCUCGGAAUUCGAUUCCGGACAUAUGCCCAAGUCCCAUAUUUUCUUACAGACCUUCCGGAGCUGUCAAAUCACUGGUCCGGGUCCGUUUACCUAAAAUGUUGAUCGAAUUCAACUUAAAUUCAUUUUAAAAGAAAAAUUUAUCAUUUUUUCACAGAUUUCCACAUAAUGGCUUUUCGGAUACAUGCCCGGACUGCACAUGCAAAUCGAGGUGAGACAAAAGGGAGGUUUUAAGGCCUCAGAAUACAGAAUUUACUUCUAAAAUAAGUGAUGACCUUUUGGGUCAUCACAUUCUCCAUCUCUAAAAUAACCGUUCGUCCUCGAACGGACAUAAGAAAGAAGUGCCUGAGUCGGAGAAAAGAUGGGGAUAUCAGCUCCCCAUAUCGAACUCGGACUCCCAGGUCGCUGCCUCAACAGGCUGACCUCUCCACUGAACACGAACAAAAGGAAAACUCUUCGAUCUCAACUGACGAACCUGCCGGUCUAGAAUAGCUACCGGCUCUUCCUCAUAGGACAAGUCCUUGUCCAACUGGACGGUGCUGAAGUCUAACACGUGGGAUGGAUCGCCGUGAUACUUUGAUGCAUGGACGCAUGAAACACUGGAUGCACGGCUGAUAAGCUCGGCGUCAAUGCAAGUCUGUAAACCACCUCUCCCACUCGAUCAAGAAUCUCAAAGGGACCAAUGAACCUAGGGCUAAGUUUGCCCCUCUUCCCAAAUCUCAUCACGCCCUUUAUAGGCGACACCCGAAGCAACACCCGCUCGCCGACCAUGAAUGCCACAUCACAAACCUUACGGUCGGCAUAACUCUUUUGCCUAGACUGAGCUCUAUGAAGCCUAUCCUAAAUGAUCCUGACCUUAUCCAAGGCCUCAUGUACUAGAUCCAUACCCAACAACCGAGCCUCUCCCGGCUCAAACCAUCCAACUGACGACCGACACCGUCUACCAUAUAAAGCCUCAUAAGGAGCCAUCUGGAUACUCGACUCGUAGCUGUUGUUGUAGGCAAAUUCCGCUAAAGGCAAGAACUGAUCCCACGAGCCUCCAAAGUCAAUGACACAAGCUUUAAAUCUUAGCUCUGCCUUUGCUGGAACGUUUAAUUUGAACCAGACCAGUCGCAGAGCCACGUUUAACCAAAGGUCGUCAGUUACACCUCUUCACCGAAAUAUUAUAUGUUUUGCUAGGUAUAAAUAAAUUAUUUUAUGCAUAUAUACCAUAUGUUGAAUCUCUUUGAUUUUUUUCAUGUAUUUAGUUUUUUAUAUUUUGACACUUUUUAGUGAAUUCUUGAGUCGAGAGUCUAUGGGAAAUAACUUCGGAGUAGGAUUUGCGUACAUACUAUCCUUUUCAAACUUGUAAAAUUUCACUGGAUUGUUGUUGUGUUAUUGUUGACACUUUUUAGUGAAAAUCCUAGUUUCGAUACCGGACCAGACCAUUUGAAGUUGGACGGAUUACGCUAGACAGAUAAUUAACGCAAGAGAGGAGCAAAACUACAGAGAUUACUGCAGGAAGGUAUAAUUAAUAUUAUUCUCUAAUUAGUCACUAUUUGCGCACAGAACAGAUUUAAUUUGUUUAUUGCCAAGUUGCAUGGGGAGUAGUAGUUCAAGAACGGAUAAGAGAUUGCGUGUGAUUGAAGUCGUAAAUCGAAAACACAUUCAUGCUUGGCACGAUUUAAAUUCCCAUAACUAUCGGUCCCAACCCAACUGCCUAUACUUUUUUCAGAACUUAAGUUGAAUUUAGAGAGAAAUUCAGGAUUUAAAUUUUAUGGGUUUAGAUCAUCUAAUUUAAUGGUUUAAAAUUUAUUAUUUAUAUAUAUUUAAUAAUUUUUUAGGCAAAAAUAUAGGAUAUGAGUGAAAACUAUGGGUGUAGUUAAACCUAUAGCUUCUAUACUAGAUAUGCCUCUGGCCGAAUUAUAUACAGGGAAGAUUAAUUUAUGAUUUGGGGUGGGUGUUUGACGGAUAAGCUGUCAAAUUAUUUGGUGUUAGAUUUAGAUAGCGAUAAUUAAACAUCCUAAUUGGGACUGCAGUUGUAGCAUUUGUUCUCCUUAAUUUGUACUUCCUCCGUCUCAUAUUAGUUGUCACGAUUCUCUUAUACACGUCCUUUAAGAAAACUUAAUUAGGAUGGGAUUUUGACUAUUUUAUCCUUAUUCAUGUUUUAAAAUUUAAUCUUUCUUCAUUGGUAUUUGAACAAAGUUAUCUAUAAUUGAUGGAUUUGUAGUCUUCAAGUAAAAAAGAAAAAAGAUAAUCAAUUUUAUCUUGAACUUCUAAAAUAACAAAUAAUUUGAGACAAUUAUUUUUAAUAACCACGACUGAUAAUAUGAGACGUAGGGAGUACGAGUCCUUCCAUAUGUCAAGACGUGGGAUAUUCAUUAAAUUGUCUUACUGCAACGUAAGCUUGAGCUGUUUGUUGAAAUUGGAAUCAUGUCUCACUCAAACAAUACAAUAAUAUAACACGUUUAUAGUUGCCUUCUAAACAAAAAGAGAAGUUCCCUUUUUGGGGAGAAAGGGUUUGGUCAACUGUUGUGGCCGUAGACACUCUCAUUCAUUGAUAAGGAUGGUUGAAUAGUUGAUCUUUCAAUUCCAUAACCAUUAUCCUUACAUAGUUAUUCUUGUAUUUUCAUUUUCCUUUUUAAUCAAAUAACAGGAUGUGAUAGUUAGUGGAAACAAAAUUUUAAUAUGCCAGCAAAUAUUACUUACCCAGUACUAUAUUGCUAAAUGAAAUGGAUGUGUACAUCGGAGUUUGUUUUCGCACAAAUUCCUUAAACGGGGACAAAUGACUAAUUAGUAAUACUUAUCAUAGAAAUUUAACUCUAGCUAAAUUAUAAAUGGCCUAAUUGUUUAAAUAUCUUUUACAUUGUCCAUAAAUUUAAACUCCUUAAGAAUUAUGGGCAAUAUUUGCCGUCCUAAAAAGGUUGUCCUUCACAGCGGUUGUGCUUGCUUUAGUAACUAUGCUGGCAUACAGUGCCUUCUCUAACGGUCCUUUAAGAUCAAGUUUAAUGCCCAUUCUGGCCAAGAUAGCCAAGUUUGACAGAUUUACGAAUGUGGGUCAGCGUUAGUUGUUCCUCAGACAAAUUUAAGCUAGCCCCAAGACCAAAAAGAAAAAUCCAUCUGGCAAAAGAAACCAUACAAACUGUUGGUCAAGAAGCUUGUCUCCAAGUUCAAAAGUUGAAAUACCUUGAAUUAUUACCCUUCGUUACAAAAACAUGCUCUAAGAAAUAAAUGGCUAUAAGCUCGGAAAAUCCUGUAUCUUACUUUAAUAUUUCCACUUGGGAGAUUCACAUUAUUGUGUGGAAUAUGCCACCUUGAAAGGCACGCCGCACCAACGGAAGUAGAGAACAAUCAAAGUCAUCACAAGAAUGAUGAAUUAACAUGUAGCAUGAAUCAUCUCGAGAACGAAAGAGAUAGAAGUGGC
Molecule: long non-coding RNA, 85029 nt
Filed under: Nicotiana tabacum (common tobacco)
Lineage: Eukaryota; Viridiplantae; Streptophyta; Magnoliopsida; Solanales; Solanaceae
Description: long non-coding RNA (NTAB_LNC005735)
Source: RNAcentral